CAGCCGGUAACAGGAAUAUCCUGCUUAAAUUCCCUUCAAAUGCAGCACAUAGUAAAAAAUGUCUAUUAUUAAUGGAAAAGAUAAGCAAGAGAUCUGCCUCUUUUAAUUGAGUGCAAAUGUUGAGCGAAGAAACAAGCUUACUUUGCUGAAAUGGUGUUCAAAAAAUGCAGCACUAAAAAUAGGGCCUGUCAGACAACCUGUUGGCCACCCCAGCCAAGCAAGCCUGACCAGGAACGAUCCUCUACAGCACCAGACACAGCAUCAAGCAAGAUCUUGGCCGUUAAUCACGCUCUGGCCCACAGGUCAUGACUCAUCAACCAGGCUUAAGUGCUUGCCUCCUUAUUAGUCAAGGAUGCAGCGGUACGAUCCUAUAGAACAGAUCCUGUUCAAGUAAGGUCGUGCUGUGGGGCUCGAGAACUGAACUUUUAAGCUAGCUUCAACUCAUGUGAGCAACCGAGGUGGUACUACUGGGUGGGAAUGGGCAGCAUGUUGUGUACUGGGCCUGGCCAUCAAACCCAUCGAGGCUGCGAUAGCUUGGCCAAGUGUUGAUGCCUCACCUGAAUGAAAAAAGAAAAGAAAAGAAAGAUAUGAUAAGCUCACAGCUGGUCCCUAGAUGGUUGCAGUUCUCACUUCACAUAGCUCAGUCUUUGGCCCAUGUGCAAUGCUUGCUGGAUGCUGCUGCCCCAUGGUUGCCAUUGAUCUUGACACUUGACAGCAUGGUUGGCCUGCAGAUCUGUCAUGAUGCUCAGCUUAGGGAAAUCGUGAUACAAGCUCGAAAGCAUUUGGGUAAUGCUGGUUUGCUAAACUAUUAGUAAGUACACACUGCACUCACCUUUUAGUGAAGACCCGAGGCAGAGGGAAAUGGCAAAAUUACAAUUGGUAAGGAAGCUGAUGCCCAUGCCCAUACCCAUACCCACGCCAAUGUGGCAAUGUCUGCAUUUUUGUUUUUUUCGUGAGAGACAGUGCCAAUGAUCUACCUGAAAAUUGAAUACCUGAUACAUGCGGUUUUCGAGAAAGAAAAAAAAACCCUGAUACAUGCAUCCUUAGCCCAAGUAUAGAGAAUCUACUGAGGUUGCCUUUGGCGUAGCCCAAGUAUGGAAUCAGCAACCGGUGCCAUCCUUAGAUGCUCAUCACUCAUUAGUAGGCCCAUUAACAAGUCCAGGGCUCCAGGAAGGCCAAGGCUAGUCCAACCAAAAAAAAACAAGGGCAGAUGCAUUGCAACGCGUGUUUCUUGUGCGGUUGCCAUUCCUUGUCGCCUCUGAACGUGCGGCCUUCUCGUAUCUGCCAACUGACCCCUGCCUCCCUGGUACGGCAUUUUUUAGUACGCGAAAAAGAGGGACAACAAUGUCGUCUGUCCCUCCAAGAACGACUGACGCCUCGAGGCAUCCGCCCCGCCCGCCUACGCUGACAGGCCAAACCGACCGAACGGACCCCGCGUCCGCGUGGUGCUGGGCAAACACUCCACAGAAGCUCCACGCCGCCGGUCCCUAUGAAACGACUACUCCCUCUCCCUCAGCAGCAAAAAGAAACGAGAACGAAAGGUCCACCUGAUUGUUAUUCACGUGCUCCGUACAGCGGCCAUUGGUCGUGCGUGGAGGAUGAUGAGGAGACGGCAGACCGAAGGCACGAGUGGCGUUGGCGCACCUAAACCAGACAGCGACGUGGUUAAUUCGCCCGGGUGGGCGACGGUCAUCGGGCGCCAUUUAUUGCCGUGGCUGGAUCCCGUUCUCGUUCCGUCCCUGCCACGGGUGCGGAAAGCUUCUGCUCCUGUGCCGCCCGCAAGCGUCUGCCGAGACGCUCUCGGCUCUCGAGUUCGCGUCUGCAUGCGCCCGCAGCUCUCCUCCUCUGGUUAUUAACUCCCGUCGCCGUCCCCGACGAUCCCCAUCACCCUCAUCAAUGCGGUUGCGGAGGUGAAGGAAUAUCGCUCAUCAUCAAUCGCGUCGCGCCACUCGGACGGAGAUAGCCGGGCGCGCGUCGCGUCGUAUCGGGGGAGCGAGUAGGCGGGAGAGCGAGCGGGGGCCGACGACUAUCCGAGCCCACGGCGACACGCGCGAGCGAGAGCGACAGGGGCAGGGAUUAAGGAAUACUAAUUCCGAUCGGUUUUCCUGCUCCGCGACCGUCGGUUCUGAGUUCUCCUUGUCCAGCCAAAAACUAGCGAAGAAAACACCACCGGGCCAGGACGACCCAGAGGGAGGGCGGUCGCUCGCUCUCUUGCUGCCGCGCGCCGCUGUUCAGACUUUGAGACGUCGUCGUCGUCAUCACAGAGCUAGCUGAGAGCAAGCUCUGCCGCGCUCUCUGCUCUGUGCAUGCCGCGUGCGUAGCGUAGUACGUGCGCGCGCGCGUCACACGAGUGGCCUCGAUCUGCAUGGAGAAUGGAGAGAUAGAUAGCGCGCCGGCUGACCCACGCCCCCACACGUACGUACAGCGCAAGCGUACAAGCUAGGCGAGCCGAACCAUGCAUCACACACACACGCAGGCCACGGCAUGGACUGGACCGGCGAAAACUGGGACGAGGUCACGAGCCAGAUGCAUGAGCGAUCCGAUGCAGUGCGGCGCGCGGCCCGCGCGCGAUAUCAUAUCAUGCUGCUACGUACGUACGUAUGGGAGAGGGAGACGACGACGGCCGGGCAGCACGUACUAUAGAUCGUCACGUAUAUAGGUGCGCGGUGCGCGCGCGCGCGCACGCACAAUAAAUUGCGGUGCGACCCGGCGGACUCCUGUGCGCUGCAAAUCUCGUCACCCAUAAAUGCCGUUGCAUGCCGGUGCAGGGGGAAGCUCCCGCCGGCCCUGAUCUGACGUCCCCCGGCCCGGCCGGCCUCUGACCUCGGCACGGGGGCAGCAGCAAACUUCCCACACGUUUUUGACGAAAAAGUUUUCAAGAUUCCUCGUUACAUCGAAUCUUGUGGCACAUACAUAAAACAUUAAAUAUAGACGAAAACAAAAACUAAUUACACAGUUUAGCUGUAAAUCACGAGACGAAUCUUUUGAUCCUAGUUAAUCAAUAAUUAGAUAAUAUUUGUCACAAACAAACGAAAAUGCUACAGUACCGAAAGUUUUCACUUAGGACGAGUACCGCGCGCGUGACACGGAAAUGAACCGCGUGCCUGCAUCCAGCGGCACACAAACACUUGGACAGCGGUCCAAGGCCUCCAACAUACGUGGAGGGUGUAGUGCAUGUUCGGUUGUUCCUCUCUAGGGCACUGUUCGAUGUGGGCUAAUUCUUAGGCGGGGCGGAAGAACAGCUAUCUCUAAAAUUAGUCAGCUAUAUGCUGCAUGGGUAUAUCACAUUGAUUAUUUAUAAUAUAUAAAUUAUCCAUAGGGUAAUCAACUUAAGGUAUAGGAUCAUUGUAGACUAGUUGAUUGAUUAUAAUAACCCAGGGCAUAAUUUAGCAUAUUUGGAUCAUAUUCAAAUUAUUUUAGAUGAAUUAUUAAACAUGGAUCCAAGCAGGCCCUAAGUAUUAUCCAUUUGGAUCCCAGACUCAUAAAUCCAUGUUUGGAUACCCUCUUAUUAUCAUAAUAAUUGAAUUUAUAAUCAAAUUUGAGCGAAAUUAUAUGAUGAUUAUCAAAAUCAAAACGUCUGAUUAUCAUAACCAGAUAAUCCAGGUGAUACUAGAUUUAGGGGAUUAUGGGUUCUGAAAGUAUAACUUAACCCCUAAUCCAUUGUUCUAACUUGCCAAACAAAAGGAUAAGAUAGGAAUUUAUUACUUUAACCAACCAUAAUCAAUCAUCGUAAUUUAGAGAGCCAAACACUCUGAUUAUUACAAUCCAUAAUUCUGAUUACUAUAAUAAUUAUAUGCAUAAUAUAGAUUACAAUAAUUCAGUUGUGAUCCAACCGACCCUAAGGUCCUUAUUAAAAAAAACAUACCAUUGUCAACUAGUGUACUUGUCUAAGAGCAUCUCCAACCAUUUUGUUUGAACCCACACACGCUAAAUCCUCAUUCAGACAGCCAUUAUAAUAAAAUACAUUCUUUAUAUCUCUACACUGUUCAAUAACUUCUAUAUAUCUUUUCCGGCACUUUGGAGACCAAAGCUCCUCCCUCUAUCUCUGGUGAGCAGAAAUCAGGAAUAGUGGAUGGCAAUAUUUGGUAAUCUAGUGGAACAAAUUGUUGCAAGAGAUUUUUCUUAUCAUAAUCUCCAUUCCUAUCCAUAGGGAAGAAUAUAAAGAGACUUUUGAGUUGCUCUAACAAACUAGAAAGGGUUUGACUAGAAAAUAACUCAUCCAUUGAUUAAAGUUAAUUUUCACUUGGCCCAUGGAGCCCAACUGGCCCACCGGCCUAGUAUAGUUCUAGAAUCAUGCACUAUUUCCAGAACCCCUGCAUUUUAAGGAGGUUUAAAUUAAAAGUGUCAAAUUAAACCGUGGACAUGUACAUGAUCUGUGCUGCAACGAAUUAUUUUAAUUUGUUUGUUCCGUGGGAGUUGCAGAUGCUGGUGGGUGGUGGUGGCUGCUACCUGAAGAACGUACCAUUGAAGCAUGCGCAUAUAUAUCACACAGUUGACACGUUAAUGAGAGAUAGCGUUGCUUCAUCUAAACCGAUUAGCUCCCUUUGUACCGCCCAGAGCCCAUCAAGACUCACGAGGCUUUCUCGUCGCGUUUUUUUGAUUUUCCACUGGAAAAUGAAGGCAACAACAGUCAUCAUUAUCCAAAACCUGGUACUACGUGGCAGGCAUGGCAUGGCAGGCCAAAUUAACCAAAACCCGGCCGUUCGCCUACCGACGGGAGCAUACUACAGGAGCAGGGCAAUUAAUCCCGCUGCCAUCAGCGCCCGACGGGGACGGACGAAAUCAACGGCGUCUCCGUGACACAACGUCACCUGAUUAGCGCCCACGGUUGCAAGUCCAACCCAAUUUAAUGAAGGCAAAAAAAAAAACUAGGAGUACUCCACAUAAUUAGGUGGACGCAGCUAUCGCUAGAUUAACUGCGCGCAAACGUGCCGUUAAUUAAUUCCAUCACAGUCAGUUGCCGUGACGAGCAGCUUUUAUAUAGUAGUACUACUCCUAUUCACGGCGGUUGAAGGGCCAGUCAGCGAGUAUCUAAUUAACCGGGGCAUUUAUUUAAUCCUAGCAGUACUAGUACUACUCUCUUCCUAAUCGUCAUUAUCGCGGCGAUUAUUAAUUAAUGAAUUAAGCGAAACCACCGAAGAAUUGGGUUUCGCCCGCGACGUCUCAAUCUGCAUGGAUUAAUGUGGGGCAUUCAAUGCGCGAGAGCCGCAACUAACCAGAUGGAUGCAUGGGCGUGCGUGCUGCGUGGCUUUUUACUUGAAUUGCACUCGCCAAUGCACUUCUUCAUUGCUAGCCGUGUUAAUUGCCUGCCUUUGCUUCCCCGCCACGUACUCCUAUGUUUGCUAGCUGCUAUGCGGAGCAGCUUAAUUGCACCCUUUCCAUCCAAAGGCCGCCAUGCAUUAUUAAUGCUUCUUGAUAUGUAGUAUACGUCCACCGUGUGUAGAUACGAGGAGUAUAUCUCAAUGGAUGAUCAAGAUUUCAGAAUUUUAAUCAAGGCGAGGCGCCAUCUAGUACAGUACAUGAGAUUUUCAUAUCUCAAGAAUUGAUUAAUUCGACCGAUUUUUUUUCGUUAUUUGCCACAACAAUUUUCUUGAGAGAUCGAUCAAUGCAGUUCCCACUAGUUUGACUGGAGUUUUUUUUUUAAAAAAAACACAUCAAACAUGCCUAAUCCAGAUCAUCAUGUUCAACGAGAAGCUGAUCCAGAGAAUUUUCAAGCCGUGCCUUAGUAGAUUUCUUUCUUCAUAGCACACGUGCAACCGAAACUUUGAAUAUAUAUUUCGACCACUAAUAGACAAAAAAAAUUUAGGACAUGUAUUGGCGCGUGAAAAUGAUGUGUGGAUUUGUCAUGAAAAAUGCACUCGUUUCACUAUGUUCUUAACAAUUGGUACAAAAGUGAAUAUAAACUUUCCUCAAAAAAAGUGAAUAUAAAAUGCAAUGUAAAUAAAAUAUACUCCAUGAAAAGAACAUAACUAGUAUAUGAUCUUACAUUUUUUAGAUAAAUGGUUUAAUUUAGCUCUCCCCUGCAAGUUUUAAGAGCCACUGCAUAGUUUAUCUCGCAAAAGAAAUCCUCUUAGUUGGAUAUCAUUCAUGGAACCAAUAAUUAAUCCAACUGAGUUGUCCUCUUUUUUUUCUUUUUUAUUAAUUAUAAAAAACAUAUACCAUUACAUAUAUCUUCACAAAUAGAAAAUUAGAAACUACAUAUAGAAAUCAUAUAUAGGCUAGAAACUGCUUAUAAAAAUCAUGAAUGAGAAAUUCAGGCAGUAUUAUAAAUUUUAUAUUCUAGAGUAAAAUAUCAAAAUUGUGUUAUCUAUCGCACUAGAGUUCAGAUUAAUUUUCAUUCUCUAAAUUUAAAUAAUUCUACAACUCAUAAUAUUUUGUAUCCUACGCACCCAAACAAUGAAAAAAAAUAUUACCAUGAAUAACAAACACAACGUUAUAACGAACAAAACCGGAAUUAAGGAAAGGCUACUAUCAUUUGUACAGACAGACUUUUUAAGACGAAGAACAAAAUAAAAGAACAAAAUAAAUUGAGAGAAGUCCAACUUCUAUGUAACCCAGCAGUUUUUGAUCUACAUGAUCAUACUUUUUUUUGACUAAAUAAAUAUAGGGCCCUAUACUACGAUCAGGCGAUUCUUCAGACAAGAUAUUGCCUAAAAGAAAUCCAUUUCCUGACUUUUUCCAAUUUCCUCUAAUCUUUUUCUCCGUUCACUCCAUCUCCUCAGCAGCCGCAUUCAGGUCGAUCCUCGGCUUCUUGCCGCUGCCUUCGGCGGCGGCGGCGGACUUCUUCCCGCGGAGCGGUGGCACCCUGGCCGAGCAACGCGGGCAGCGGGGGUCCUCCUCGGCGAUGAGCACGUACGUGAGGCAGGAUGGGCACGCGGCUGCGCGCAUAGCGGGGGACGCGGGCUGCGGCGACCGGUUGCGCUUUCCGGCGGAGGAGGACGAUGACGAGGUCGACGCGGACGAUGUUGACGUUGCCGGCGAGGCGGUGGUUCUCCCGGCGGCCGCGCGCUCGAGGGCGGAGCGGACCAUGUCGAGGGUGCAGACCGCGGCUGAGUUGGUGGUGGGCGCCGCCGGCGCGGCGACUGCCGCCGGUGGAGGAAGGUUGAGGUCCUGGUGUCCGCCUUGCACGCUCGGGUGGCGUGGAGUCAGGAACGUCUUGCCGGACUGCGAGAAAAAAAUCAACAAAGGCUGGGUUGAGUAUACUUUGCAAAAGAAAUACGUUUUGGAAACUAUAUUUCACGAGGAUAUAGUUAAACAAAAUCUUUUGUGAUUACAAACCAAGAGUAUAUAUCCAUAUAUCUUUGUGCAACAUAUCACAAACAAGAGGUAAACUUGAUGGGCAUGCAUGCCAUGCGUAAGGGAAUCAACUCAUAUCUCGAUCAGAAAUCCCUAUUUCUAGCAGGCGACUGUAUACAAUCGAAAUCACAAGAACGAAAAAUCUAAAAUAUCGAUCAAAUCCUCGGAUAAAACUCAAUCACAAGAACAACCCUGCUUGGGAUAUGAACCAUAAAGGUGAGGGAAUCAACUCACCAGGAGGUCAAGCCGUCGCUCCCAGCCGGCCGGCACCGUGACCUCGAGGUCCACGACCUCGUCCUCCGCGGCCCCGCCGCCGCCGCAACCGCCGAGAAGAUCCAUCGUCACAAUCUCCGGCCCGCCCUUCUUCCCCGCCUCCCCGCGUAGCAGCCUCGCGACAGAGCUCACGUCCGCGGCCAUCAUCCCCGGUGGGCUCCCGCCUCCCGGAAUUCCUUUCUCGAUCGAUCGGCGGUCGUCGGCGGCAAUGGCAACUCCUCUCUGUCUCUGGUUUGCGCGUGCGCUCUGGCGGACUGCGGCCUGCGGGUGGAAUGAAGCGGUGGGGUUAGCGCGCCCUACCUAUAUAUACCGCCGGGCCGCCGCCCUGGCAGACAUGUGGGCCCCUCAGGCCAGGGACAGGCAGGUCAAUGAAUAUACUCCCCCAAAGGAGUGCGCUAUUAAUUGGCAUUGUUGGGAAAUGGUUGGCAAUUUUAUUCAUUAAUUGGCAAUUAAUUGAGCAUACUAGUAGCAUGGAUUUGAAUUUAUUCAAACACGGCUUCCACCUCUUGAAUUCAUGCAUUCCUACAUUUCCUUGAACCUUUUAAGCUACUUCCCUCAUCUUGGAACACAAGGCAAUUUUAGGUGUCUAUAAGUUAAAUUAUCUUAAAUUUAACCAAGUUUAUACAGAAAGGGCAUUAACAUAUACCAUAUUAAAUAGAUAGCUAUGAGAAAUAUAUUUUCACAUGCUUAUAAUCAUGAAAGCUUAUUAAAGGGACAAAAUGCUCCAUUUGAAUGCCAUUCAUUUUCACAUACUAUAUAUAUGUGCCAUGGUUUUUGCAUGAAUGUCCACUUUAUCUCACCAACACAGAGACUUUUUUUCAUAUUACCAACAAUGACUUUGGAGCCCCUUUGAUCCAAGCUAAACUAUGUUAUCAUUUUCCUUGGCAAAACCAGAAUAUGAAACCACGUCAAUAACAAUUACUAUAGCCAAAACAAAUAAUAGGAGAGUUUACUAUUCUCAAAGGGAGAUGAUACUCAACUUGAAUGCCAUUGAUUUUCACAUUCAUUUGUGAAACUAUUGAAUUAAUAUAGUUUGUCUGUAAGGAUGCAUGGCAGAUGUGCUAUCAAUAAUUAAAAAGAAAGGAUUUAGCUAUAAAUAAAAGGAUGCAAGACAGAUGUGCUAUCAAUAAUUAAAAAGAAAGGAUUUAGCUGUAAAUAAAACAAUAAAGGUUAACGUCUACUACUUGGUGAAAUGAAAGAACAUAUUGUCAUUUUAAUCAAAUUGCCAGAUAUUCUGCAUUAAUUUUAGCACUAGCAAGAUAUGCAGAGAUACAGACAUGAAGGAGUGCACUAUUUAUUGGUGUAGUUGGGAGAUAGUUGGUUUCAUCAUCUUGCAAUUAAUCGAUUAUACUAGCAUGCAAUUGAAUUUAAUUUAUUCAAACAUGGUUUUUAGUUUAUUCUUAAAAUCAGACAUGACAUAUUGGCAAGUCACAUUUUUGGUCCUUUUAAGUUUCUCUUGCUUAACCAUCACAUACAUUUUUUCUUAGAAAACCAUGUUUGACAUAGACAUCAUUCUUCAUCCCAUAACAACACCCACUUUAUCUCACCAAAACAUAAAUCAUUCUCCAUAUCAUCUAAUACUAGCGACGAUUUUGUGGCCCCUUUGAUCUAAGUUAAACUAUGGUCUCAUUUUUUGUGAAACCAAAAUAUAAAACCACAUCAAUAACAAUUACGAUAGCCAGAAGAAACAAAAUAAAAGUUUAAUAUUUUUCAAAAUAGAGAUAAUGCUCAACUUGAAUGCCACACAUUAUCGCAUUCAUUUCUGGAUUUUCUAAUUAUAAUUUGUCUACAAAAAUGGCAUCACAGAUGUUCUAGUAGUAAUUGAAAAAGAAAGGAUUUUGGCUAUAGAUAAAACAAAAUGCUUAAUUUAUGACAUGGUGAGAUGAAAGAAUAUAUUAUUAUUUUAAUCAAAUUGCCAAAUAUUUUACGUUAAUUUUAGCUCACAAGAUAUGUAGAGGUAUAGAUGUGAAGGGAUGCACUAUUUAUUGUUGUAGCUGGGAAAUAGUUGUUUUCAUCAAUUUGCAAUUAAUCGAGUACACUAGCAUGUAUUUGAAUUUAUUCAAACAUGAUUUUCAACUUACUUGUAAAAUCAAACAUGACAUAUUGUGUCACACCCUGGCUUUUAAAAUAAGACCAGAGUCGUCAUAUGUGUGUCCAGGAAGUCCACACAUACAACAAAGAAUAGAAAUAUCAAAAACAAUGUUAUAUAUAGCGAAAAACAUAUUUAUAUUAACACUUACAAACAUCAGAGUACGCGGAAACAAUAGCUAAACUUCUUAGGCUCCAAUCUUCUCAGGGACGGUUGACUGGGGGCUCCGUACGCCAAGCACUUCUGAUAAGCUUCUAGAAAACUCCAUAGCAUCUAUGUCCUUCUUCUGAGCAGCACUUUACUACACGCUGGGGUGUGGGGGAAAUAGCAAGGGUGAGUUCAUGUCGAGCUCAACAAGUACAGGCGGAAAGUAUAAUGACAUGCAAGGCUUAAUCAAAGAAAAAGCUGACACUGUUUAACUGUAGGUGAGCUUUUAAGUUGGUACACUUUAAUUACAAUUCUUUUAUUAAGCAACCUAUUACUAGUGGUGAGUAGAAUAUCCCAACCCUUAAUUAGAUGGAAUGGAAGUAGAUUAACCAUUUUAUUAAACAUUAUUAUUAUUAUUACCGAGGUAGCAACCUCAGAUAGUAACUCGGGGUAGCAACCCCAUUAAGGUCAUGGGAUAGCAAUCCUAAUUAAGAACACAGGAUAGCAAUCCUGCCAACACGGAAUAGCCAUUUCGCCAAAGCACGAGGUAGCAACCUCAACCAAGUUCCGCCUCCAAGUUCCAUGUGAUUCCAAUUUGCUCAUCAUGUGAGGGCCUGGGCCGCUCGUCUAAUUAAUUCCACAAUAUUUGAAAAGCACCAUUUUUGUUUGUUGUGGAAAUCUAAACUAUUGUUGGCAAAUUUUAUCCACAUAUUAAAAAUCGUUCAUUUUAUUUAGUAUUUUUCUAAUAACAACCCGAAAUAGAAAUUUCGGGGUGUUAUAUAUUGGUCAGUCACAUUUUAUUGAACCUUUGGAACUUUCCUUGCUUAACCAUCACAUACAUUUGUUUCUUAGAAAAUCAUAUUUCACAUAUGCACCAUUAUUCGUCUCAUAACAACGAACACUUUAUCUCGCCAAAAAUAUUCCAUUUCCAACAUCAUCAGUACUACUUAUUAUUUCACCAAAAAUAGACCAUUCUCCAUAUCAUCUAGUACUAGCAAUGAUUUUGUGCCCCUUCAAUCUAAGAUAAACUAUAUUCUAAUUGUUUUAGUGAAACUAAAAUAUAAAAUCGUAUCAAUAACAAUCACUAUAGCCAGAAGAAGCAACAUAAAAGGCUUAAUAAUUUUCAAAGAGAGAGAGAACACUCAACUUGAAUGCCAUUCAUUAUCGUAUUCAUUUGUGAAAUUUGAAUUACAGCAUGUCUCGAAGAAUGGCAUGACAAAUAUGCUAGUAGUAAUUAAAAAGAAAACAAAUUGUUUGUAGAUAAAAGAAAAAAUAGCUUAAAGUUGAACACAUGGUGAAAUGAAACAACAUAUCAUCAUUUUAAUUAAACUACCAGAUAUUAAGGAGUGCAAUAUUUAUUGGUGUAGUUGGGAAAUGGUUGAUUUCAUCAAUUUACAAUUAAUUGACAAUACUUACAUGAAUUUGAAUUUAUUAAACAUGGUUUUUGGCUUGUUCUUAAAAUCACACAUGGCAUAUUGGUAGAACCUUUUGAGUUUUUCCUGUUUAACCCUCACAUACAUAUUUUUCUUAGAAAAUCAUAUUUGACAUGUGCACCAUUCUCCAUCUUAUAACAACGCACCGUGUAGCAUAUUCAACAUCUGUGGCAAACCCAAUCCAUCUACUCACUAUUGCCACUAUAGCUCCGUACCACAUCUCCCCAUAUCCUCUAAUGGAUAUUGCUUUAUGCCUCAAAUAGCUACCACAUGUCGUCCUAUCAUCUAGUAGCUAUUGUUGUAUGCAUCUACUACCUACGGCUAUCGAUGCCUUGCUUCUCAUUUGAAUGUCACCUUAGGAGUUUUGAUAUGUCUUUGAUCCAAAAUAUAAAACCCUAACAAUAGCUCUUACUAUAAUCAAAGAAAAAUAUAAAUCUUCUUAUUUUCAAAGAGAGAUAAUGCUCAACCUAAACGGCAUUUAUUUCCAUAUUCGUUGCACAAUUUUUGAAAAUUAUAGUUCAUCUAUAAGCAUGACAUGACAAAUGUGUAAUAAUUAGAAAGAAAAGAUUUAGCUGUAAAUAAAACAAAAUGUUAACAUUACAGCACACAGUGAAAUAAAGGAUGUAUUCAUUAAUCAAAUUGCCAUAUUUAUAUGUAUUAACGUUAGCAAGAUAUGCGGAUAUACAGAAGUAAAUGAGUGCACUAUCUAUUGACAUAGUUGGAAAAUGGUUAGCAAUCUAUUCAUCAUUUGGCAAACAAUUGAGUAUAUAUACCAGCAUGAAUUUAAGUGUAUUCAAACAUGGUUUUCCCACUUAUUCUUAAAAUCAUGCAUAUAUAGCAUAUUGUCAAGUCAUGUUUCAUUUAACUUCUGAGUUGAUCUUGCUUAACCAUUGCAUAUGUAUUUUUGUUUGAAAUCACGUAACAUUAUUCCAUAUCGCGCCACUAGAAGUUUCAUUAAAGCUCCACAUUGUGUAUCACUAUAUGAUCUAGUGGCAGAUAGUAUCCCUUGUUGUAUUUGUAGUCUUAGGCCCUAUUUGGACCGAAGGGGUAAAGAUUAGCCCAUCCCUUUUAGCCAUGUUUUAGCCCUUCAGGGUCCAAACAGGAGGACUAAAAGGAGGAGCUAAUCUUUAGCCCUCCAUUAGCCCAUUAACCCUUGCAAGGUAGGCUAGGGGGCUAAAAGUGCUAAUAAGUGACUUUACUCUCUUUCUAUCUCCUCUCUCUAUCACCUUUUAGUUACAAAUCCAAAUAGUCCAAGAAGCUAAACUUUAGCCCCUUUAAUUCGAGGGCUAAUCUAUAGCUCCGGGAUAAACUUUAGUUAAUGGGAUCCAAACAGAGCCUUAGGGUACUCUCAAUGCAAAAACCAUCAUAGUUUCUAUAAACAUUAAUUAUGGUGCCACCUAAGCAUUUUGCUGAUGUGGCAAAGUAGUUAUUGAAAAGAGAGCAAAAAUCAUAGAAACUGGGUCUAACUUAGAAAUCAUGUCUACGCGAGAUCUAAGACAUGAAGUGAUAUUAUUGGUUGAGAAUGGAUAGAGAAUGAAUGUGAUUGGAUAACAACCUCGAAUAAUUUCAGCUUAUACAUAGUGUCUAUAGAAAUUAAUAGGUAUAGAAACGACAUGUAUUUUUUAGCAUUGAGAGUGCCCUUAGCUAGCAGAGUACUAUUUUGUUGUCAUGUGCCUUUGCUAGCUAAGGCUACAAAUAUCUUGGUUAUUACUAUCUUUGGGAAAGGGAGAAUAUAAUGCUCAACUUGAAUGUCAUUUAUUCUAUAUUUAUUGUGCAAUUAUAGUUCAUCUAUAAGAAUGGCAGGCCAGAUGUGCUAGUGGUGAUUAAAAAGAAAUAGUUUGGCUAUAAAUAAAACAAAAAUAAUUCAAUGGACCUAUCGUGUGUUUAUUACAUUCCCAGAUUUUCUCUACGUACAAUGGAACCUAGGAAAGAUAUGCAGAUAUUAGUGGAAAGUGUGCAUAGUAAAAUAAAUAAAUAAAUAAAUAUAUUUCGUUGGACUAGUAGUAGAAUUAGGACUAGGGAACUAUACGUCACAUCAUUAGCUACCGGUAGGUGAUUACCAAUUAGGAAAAAAUAAAGAAAUGAAAUUGGGUUACGUAUCUGUGGUGUACUAUUAAAAAGACGUGCUCCUACCCCAGAACGUAAUCACACUCAUAUCUUGUCACGAAUUGAUGGUGAAGAUUGUUUUCCAUAACCACCGAAUAGGAAGGCUUUUAAUGUGCAUCAACAGCAACCCGUGAUGAGACGAUCUUUGCAUCGCAAGCAAUUAAACACAAGGAUCGUGAAGACUUGCCGCCUUGACUCGAUCCAUGAUUCAUCAUCGAGUACUUGUGGAUUGCAGUUCAAUUCACACGAUGGAAGUAGCACUUGUGUGCAGCAACUUUUUUUAGCCAUGCACGACUAGCUACCAAGCUGCCAUGCGUCUUGACUGUACUUAUCUCUGUAAUAGCUUUCGAGCAACUUUUGAAUUGAUCGACUCUGUCCAUGCUGAAAUUAUUCGAGGUUGUUAAUUGUAGACUUGUAGUAUACCGUACAUGACUGCAGAUAAUUUGCAGAUGAAGAAAUACUCUGUCCAUGCUGAAAUUAUUCGAGGUUGUAUAUGGGCAGCCGGUCCCUGUCAUUUUCCUUCCAUUAAAAUUUGCCAACCACAACAAUUUUAAAAUUUAGUCUAUGGCAUGCAUGCCUAUUUUUCCUUUAGAUAAUUAUUCGAGGUAGGAUGCGUUUUCUUUUCAUUUUUGAAUGAGCAUGCAUUCAAAACGGAGUAGUUACAGUUGGGGUCAGAGUGCUCCGUUUUGCUGCAUUUCUUGGGCGUGGGGCCGGGUAAAAUGACCCACAACAAACGCAUUAACUAACCCAACUGCGACUGAAUUGUCAUGGGAAAAGUAGCUUCCUAAACCUUCACACCCAAGAGUUCAAUUGCCCCCAUUGAAUGCAAUCAAUAUCUUCAUCUUUGCCUGCACUUAUUAAUGAACGGAUUGUUAGGGCCUUUGGUUAUCUCCGCAUUAAUGGCGAGCGCAAGUGCUCACCGGGAUUCUCUGUGGUAGGGUAGCUCAACGGCUUGUCACCGGCCCAACUCUGUACGUUACUGAAAUUCUAUAGGAUUUGGAAUUGGAAUUGCGAGAGCACAGUUUGCAUUUACGACUAGGAAUUGUAAUUUGUAUAGUAGGAAAAAGGUAUAGUUUCAAACAUCAUAAAUUCGAUUACUUUGAGCAAUUGUUUUUUUUUGGCUAUUAUAUGAGCAAAUUUGAUUAAAUAGCCCCUCAAUAUUCAGAUCGGAAAUUGGCUUAAUCAUGGAGGAGGCAAAAGGAAUUUCUCGUCCGAUGAGUGAAUGGAAGUCUUCGUAAGCGAAGAGAGAUUGUAAUUUUUCUUAAAGAUCCGGCAAAAACAGGUUUUGAUUAAAUAAGAGGGUGAGCAGAACUCAAAUUUACAAGCGGGAGUUGCGCUCUCCAGCAUAUACUAGGAUGUCUGGGGUAGCAAAUGCUUUGGCUUUGUUAGCUGUAGACGUUAUAAACACUCUGGGGCUGUCUUGGCCAAGCAACUGCAUGUACAUGGAACUUCCUCAACGCCAUGCCAAUUGUAAUACUUUUGUGACAAGCUAAUAAAGAUCUCUCUUUACUCGCAAGAAAACUCAAUGCUAUAGUGUGUGCGGAAGAGUUGAAGCCGAAGCUAAGAGGAUAUAAAACGAGUGACAUUAUAUUGCUACAACCUUAAAAUGGGAGAUUAAAACAUUAUUCUUGCAACAAAAAGAAAAAAUUUGAGACAAUGAUCUCCACCUUUGUCUCAUACCUAGACGCCAUGUUUUCCUUUCAGCCACAAUAAUACAUGUCCUCGUGUCCAAGGAGGAAAAUUAUCAUGGGCGAUGUAGGUGUAAGUUAGGGCCUGUUUGACAAGGCUCCUUUCCAGCUCCGGCUCUGGCUUCUUCAGAGGAGCUCUACCAAACGUGUUUCUGGAGAAGCCAUUUUCGAGUAGAAGACAGAAGAGUCGGAGCUAUUUUGACAAAGACCAUUUAAAUAUCUGGUUAUAAACUUCUCUACAUAUGCCGAGUUUAGGAAAAAGUAAGAACCUAGCUCACCCAGGGCCGGGGGUUGGUGGAUCAAGCACUUGUAGAAAAAUUUUGGUGUAUAAGGGGCCUAUAUGCAAAUAGCAUUUUAUUUUUGUGGUAUCCCUAAGAAAAAUAUUUUUUUCAUGAAGUAUUGUACAUGUGUAGACACUUACAUAACAAAGACUUAUUGAGCACAUUCGAAAGACUGAGCUAACAAAUCUAGAGUUUGACAAAAGUCUUAGAUAUCUCACUGUCAACUGCAGGCACGUCACCUAUCAGAAUAGUGUCAUUAAAUCUAUAAAUACAUUUAGAAAAAAAUCAGCAAGAAUGUCAAGUCUCUUGGUCAGGUUCCAUCACAACGAAGAAUCUAAUUAGUUGAGCUAUGCCCAAUUUGUGAAAAAUACCUUCUUUCAAUGAGUUUGUGCUUGAAUUGCAUAGAGAUCCCUCGCAAACAAUUUUCACUUGUACCAUUUUCAUUUUUUUUUUGCGAAAGUGUUAUCUCCUUUUCUUAUAGGACAGCAUGUUUAUUAAAAUUAGCCAUAUAAAAAUGGAGGGAAGGAGCCUGGAUAGCUUACCCACCGCCCAUGCAUGCCCAUUCCAUCCAUCCAUGAACCAUGAUUGUGUGGGCGUCAUAUGACUGUCUACACGUUUGACCGCGAUUAAGCAGCUGACGUAGCCUUUUCGAUCGAGAAUGAAAUGUGAAAUGGAGCAUCGAGUUCUUAUUCAAUUUAUUAUCUAAUACUAUUAAAUACAUAUUUGUUGACCGUGCAUGGAGGAAAACAUAUCCGUCCUAAUAUGCGGCUUCGGGAAUGGGUAUUUUAAUUUAUUCUAAGAUACUAGCCACGCCCAUGCAUGCAUGGUCAACUAACUGUUGCCAACCUCUGAUUCCUGAACAACAACUGCAUGCAUGAAGAAUAGUCUAAGCCGAGAGGCAAAAAGAAACCAUGCUGAAUUGACACUUCAACUUUCAUCUUGAGCAGAAAGGGAAAAAAAGCAUCCAAGUUGAGUGACAAACAUCACCACCCCAUGCAUGCGUCAAAUUGCAAAUACUCCCUCCGUCCUCAAAUACUGCUAUUUCUAGCAGAUUUCAGACAGAUUAGUGUGGCAAAUAAAAGACCAUUCUACCCUCAAUUAAUUUGGGAUCCACCAUUUAAUCAUGCACGUUAAGCCAUGGUUCUCUGGUUCCAACGAGCUGCAUUUAAUGCCAACUAAAUAGACUCAAACAAUUACCAUACGCCAAAGUACUACUCCCUAAAAAAAUUAAAUGGGCUGGUGGACUACGGAAGUUCCGAGGAGAAUUAAAUAGGCUGGUGGACUGAGUGUGCUAGUAGAAAUAGCAAUAUUUAUAGACAAAAUUUUCUCCUAGAAAUAGCAGUAUUUAGGGACGGAGGGAGUACUAUAGGAGUUUAUAUACCCAUGGACAACACAAAUAAAUACGUAUGUUUCUGUAGCUACAGCUCUACGCAAUCAUCAAUGGAUAGUAGUAGUACGUAGUUAGGAGCAUCAUCAGUAGUUGAGAGCGUGGACUUUGUGCUCUACGCAAACGGUUGUUCAUAAGUCAGGCUGAUCCAUAACUGCCGGAUGACAGUACAAAUUGCACCAUCAGUUUCCCUAGCUAGCGCCAUCAUCGGCCAAAGAGCAAGCAGCAGCGCAUCGCAGAUGCAUGCAACGCAACCGAUCGAACGCCGGUCAUUACUGCUGCAAGGACGAGCAGGAAUAAUCAGAGGAGCACAAAUCUGAAGAAAGAACCACUGCAGCCGCAGCUGUCUGACCUUCCCAGUGUGCAAUCUGCGCAGUUGAUCGCGUGGCUACAACGGCCUGGCCAAACCUUCGAUUCCACUCACUGUUCCGUUCCGAAUGUCAAUUCCUGUACUUGUGCCAUAAAACUGCCAUGGCGUAAUCCGCAGUGAUUUGGGGGAAAAACUGCGGCAGGCAGGCAACAGAGCGGCCAGAAAAAGCAAUGCAUAUGCAUGACACAGGGAAUUCAUUACGUACAGUACCCGGUGGUAGCAGUUUUUGGUGUCGUACCAGUACGGCGGAGCCGGAUCUUAUUUUCGUCGCAAACGAUUACUAUUGCUGCUGUAUUACAUUACUAUUAAUUAAGUGGCACUGUUAGUUGCUAACUGUCCUCUGACACAAUAAGUCACGCACAGCCGAGAAGGUCGUGUAGUACUCGCUAGCUAGUAGGGGGUUUCUCCGUCAUCUGCAUGGACUUGUUGCGAAUUCUCUGCAAACUCUCUUAGCUCGAAGCUUGCAAGUCAGCCCAACCUCCGGCUAUUAAAUGAAGAUUUGGUGCGUGCAUGUACCUGCACGGAUGUGGGGGUGUACAGUCAUGCUGAUACUGAGAGAGAUAGUCAUCGUUUGACAAAUUAAAGUAGGAGUACUCCUACUAAUCUACUACUCCUAGGCCUUGUUUAGUUCCGAAAUUUUUUCGGAUUUCGCUAAUGUAGCACUUUCGUUUUUAUUUGACAAAUAUUAUCCAAUUAUAAACUAAUUAGGAUCAAAAGAUUCGUCUCGCGAUUUACAGACAAACUGUGUAAUUAGUUUUCGUUUUCGUCUAUAUUUAAUGUUUCAUGCAUGUGCCACAAGAUUCGAUGUGACGGAGAAUCUUGAAAAACUUUUUGUAUUUCGGGGUGAACUAAACACGGCCCUACUCCUGAAUUCCUCCUGAUCAAUCGACACACAGCACACAGGAGGAUCAGCAGUGCAUGCGAGUAGAUUAGCAGCAGACCAGCAGAGGAGAUCAGAGAGGAAGAGGAGUCUACAGCAGCAGGUACUAGCAGGGAAAAGUACAAUCUUCAAUAAUACUUCGCCCGCGCAAUAAAUGGUUCCAUGAAUGCAGAGUGGUUCCUGGUUGAAAAAUUUAUGCGCAGACAGAUGAUGGGGGAGGGGUCGUUUUUAGGGAUUUAAUGAGGGAAGGGAACUAGAGUUAGGCUAGGGUGGGCCCACCACUCAUCCUCUCUAUGCGGCCCCGUGGUUUGCCUCCUCCUAGGCCUACUGUACAAAGGAACAAAACACAUGCACGUUUAUCAAACCGGCUGAUGUAAGCAUCCACCAAAUACAUGCAUCGAAAAUCUUCGUCCUCCCUUGGCUUGGUCCAUGCAUUUGAUUGAUCAUCUGUACUAUGCACUCUCUAUGCUUUGCAAAUACUUUGCCGAGCUAUUUUGGAGCAAGUUUAUCUCUGGCUGAUGUUGAUACUAAUUUGUUAUAAGAAAAAAACACUGUUAUCUAACUAUAAAAAUUUAUAUGAAAAAGUUAAAGUAAACUGGAGGAUUCAGAGCCGAAGAAAAACCCUACCAAACAAACCUUUAGUAUAGUUGAUGUUCAAAAUACCAAUCCGAGUGAAACCUUUUUAGUUUAAGGGUCAUUUAUAUAUUUUGAAACAGAAAAUACUUGUCAAAGUUACGUUUAGGAGAGUGUCUCGUUUUGAAAAAAAACGCCAAGUGUUCGGAAACAAGAGAGGGUAUUUUUUCAAAAAACAUUUGCUAUUAUUUUCUUUGUGCUGGGCUAGCCAUGAGUGCUGUUUUUUUUUGACAAGAAGCCAUGAGUGCUGUUGUGUGCGUCAAUUUGGUCCAACUGUUCCAAUAAAUACACCUUGAAUUGGUGGCAAUCUCUAUCCUCGCCUUUAAUUUCCUCACACCCAAAAACGAGAAAAGGCUACUGCAGACCGCUCCCUCCUCUUAGAGGCAGAGGACAAGUUUAUUUGGCUCGAUAAUAAUGAGUAUAAUGAUGAGGGUUAUGGAUUGCUAUAUUUGAUUUUCUGUAAUCAUCACGCACCAUCAAAAUAUAGUUGCAUGUAGCUUUUCCUGGACAAUUAGUUCGGUUUUUUUUCUGUUUUUAUUGAUAAAAAAUGAUUACAAAUAGGAGUAGUGUUCAAACAUAUUGGGAAAAAGUGCACGUGAACAUUUUAUCUCACUGUCUAAUAUAAACACGCGCUAGAAUAGCGUUGAUCUUCUAGAGACAGAUAAUUCUUCAAUAUAUGAACAUUAGUUCAAGUAAGGUUUUGAUUUAUAUAUUUAAAUAAAUAGUUAGCAGAGUAAGCGCUCAAGUGGUUAGUUUUUCUUUAAGGUAAAAUCUGUUCACUCGGAGAUGUUUAUAGGGUUAGGAUAUGUGCUCUGAGUCUUGAUUAUGGGUGCAUCUUUUUUUUGUGACUCGAUUAUAGGUGCAUCUUCUAUGUGUAAAAUGUAUAUACUUUUGUCUAUGAACUUUUAUUAGAAAAUAAUAUUUUGAAAAUCAUAAUAUGGAAUUUUUGUAGGGGAAAUAUGGAAUUGAAAAUAGAAAUAAGCCUAGAGAAGAACUCUGAAGCGCGGGCCCAACAGAGUGUUUUCCGGAUGGCCCAGAAAAUUGAGCAUCAGCCGGCCCAACUAAUAAGCAAACCUGCUUCUCUACACCACCCAAGGCCCAAGGCCCAAUAGACGAGAGUCCACACGUCCCCACCCCCACCCCUCCCGACUCCGCGGUCCACUCUCCACUGCCACCAGGCAAACCAGCCGCGCCGCCGCCGGCGAUGACCACCGCGCGGUUCGUCUCAACCUGCCCCACCCGCCUAUCCUCCACGUCGACUUCCCCGAUUCGAACCUCGGGGUGGGUUAUCGGUCGGGUCCCCGCUAGGCCGCUCGGUUUCUCGCUUCGUCUCAAGCCCGCCAUGGCCGCCGCCGGCGUCGGCGGCAACGGCUCCCCGACCGCACCCGGAGACUCCAUAGGUGGUUCAUGUGUUUGACAGUGGAAUUUUUUUGCUCUCUGCGCAGCUUCGUGUUUGAUUCGUUCCUCAGCUGCGCCCAGCACUUAAUAGUUCAUAUUGUUCUUCUCUGCAGUAGCUAUUUCGACGGACUGUAUUUGUUCCAAGCACAUUUUUUUUUAUGAUUGCGUUCAAAAUCUUCAGGAUCUUCUAGGAUUGGAGAGGUUAAGAGGGUGACUAAGGAGACAAAUGUGCACGUGAAGAUCAACCUUGAUGGCACUGGUGUCGCCGAGUGUAGCACAGGGAUACCGUUCUUGGAUCACAUGCUCGAUGUGAGUAUACUUUAUCUGCGUUGUACAAGUAAUUAGGGAAUUGGAGGUAUCUGUAUAGACAUAAUAUGCUUGCGGUUCCUGUCUUUGUGAUUUCUAGUUCCCAUGGAUGAGGGGACUGAGAACAUUAGGCCUUUUGUGCAAAAGGGGAGAAAAUCAAAGCCGUGUACUUAACAUGAAACUAUCUUGAUCAAAUCCAUAAAGUGGGCUAACUCAAGCAUCUUCUGAUAGGAAAAGUCUUUUUGUAUACUGCUCUUAACUUAAGAAGAUGUUUAAUAGGGCCAGUAGUACAGUCAUUUUUUUUUAGAAAGUGAUGUACUGUACCAUGAGAACUUGAGGCCAUCUUGACGUGGAAAACUCUACCACUUUUCUAGUUCCACGUGUUGCAGGUGGUCACUCUUAGGACUAUGCUAUCGAGCAAUUACUUCGCAAAAUGCCGGCUUCGAUUUAACUUUUCCUAGUAUGAUGUGAUCCAUGGAGAGAGUUCCACACAGGUGUCAGAAUUCAGAAAUGACUACCGUACGUGAGUCCGUGACUAGCGCUUGUGAAGAGAAAUAGCUGUAAAUACUAAAAUAUAACCAAAGCCAGAAAGCAAAUAUUCAUGUAAAAAGGCCACCUAUUUCCAUUAUAUUCCCUUUUAAGGCAUUUAUUUUUGAACAUGCUGCUGCUCUUUAAUGGUCUCUAUUCUAUUGUACUACCUAUGUCAUGUGGUUCAAAAUAGAAGGUUCUAAAUGAGUAGAUAAGUAUGCUUUUUUUCAGUCAGUUGGCCAUUAACUUUGAGCUUAAAACUUGCAGCAGUCUAAAUGAGUAGAUAAGUAUGCUUUUUUUCAGUCAGUUGGCCAUUAACUUUGAGCUUAAAACUUGCAGCAGCUGGCAUCACAUGGACUCUUUGAUGUGUACGUGAAGGCAACAGGUGACACACAUAUUGAUGACCAUCACUCAAAUGAGGACAUUGCUUUGGCAAUUGGGACGGUGAUUAUUACUUUCCAAGAACAUUUGUCAGUUUAACUUCUAGAUGCAUUUUCCUUUCCUAACUCUUGCACUAAACUUAACACUGAUUCACCAUUUUUUUCAGCUUAUGACUUGUGCUGAACCACCUGUAAUUUAAUUCCAUGCAAUCAGCAUUAGCAUAGAUAGGCAGACAAUCAAUGUGAUGAUCUUCCCUUAUUGUCUGUGUAGGCACUACUUGAAGCACUUGGUGAUCGAAAGGGAAUUAACCGUUUUGGGCAUUUUACAGCACCGCUCGAUGAGGCAGCGGUUGAGGUUAUACUGGUAAGUCGUAUUCUCUUGUUGUAUUUACACACUAUAAAUGUGCAAUUUUGCAUUGACUCUAUAUGCCAAUCUAUGUGCCAUUUAUGCGUGUCUGGCUCUAGUGCUAUACACUUAAGGUUCUUUGUUUUUGGAUUUCCAUGUAUUCAUGAGCAUAUACUAUUACUAGAGGCCCGUUCAUAUGCAUUUAUUGACACUUCAGCAAUAACAUUCAAGCUGUUUUUUUAGAUUUUUGUUUGUGUAUGAAGUUUUUCAUAUCCAUCUAUCACAUACAAAUUGAAAAAAGAAGUUCUGUUAAAUCUUAAAUGUUAUCAUAUAUUUGUUUGCCAUUUUUGGUUCAUGUUAGUUUAAGUUAUUUUAUUGGACACAUCACAAUGCGCAUGUUGUCGAUGUUUUAACUUCCCUUCACUAUAUGAAUAUGCAAAUUUUAGCCACCUCAUUUGUUUCUUUAAUAACCUGAAACAAAUUGUUGAUUAUUACUUCCCCCUGUAUCCAGGAUCUGUCUGGUCGCCCUCAUUUAAGCUGUGGCUUAGAUAUUCCUACUCAGAGAGUUGGCACAUAUGAUACACAGGUAAUUUGUGAAAUUUGCAAACCUUUUGUCAUUAUAUGUGCAGUUGUGUUUUCUUUAUGCUUAGACCUAAAAAAAAUUAUAAUCCUUGAUAGCCACAUCUGAAACUUUCAUUUCAAGUUCGACAUGCAUUCAUUUAUAUUUCAUCAACUGUUUAAACACGACACUUCCUGUGUUUAAAAAGAAAUACCUUUUUGUGAAAUCUUAAAAAAAAAAAAACCUUGGCAGUCAUCAUUUAUUCAUCGCCAAUGCAUUGCAACACUUUCUGCAUUGUAAACUCCUGCAGUCAAGUUAGUCAAAGUUUCAUUUAUUCAUUUUGGUUCCAGCUGGUUGAACACUUUUUCCAAUCUGUGGUGAACACAUCUGGGAUGACUCUUCACAUCCGUCAGGUACAUAUUGCUGUCUGCUCAAAUCAAAUUCUCUUCAAAACAGCUGGAUCAGUGAUACAAUUUUAGUCACGGACAGUUAAGAGCAUCAUAUAGGCUGAGCAUAAGGGCAAGAUGGUUGAGUUUUCUCUAUUUUUUAUAGCUAAUUUGCAUGACCCUGUCCCUAGCACCUCAUCUCUUGCUCCAUACUGUCUUUUGAAGCUUGCUGGGAAAAACUCACACCAUAUUAUCGAGGCAUCUUUCAAAGCAUUUGCUAGGGCACUUCGACAAGCAACAGAAUAUGACUUGCGCCGCCAAGGCACUGUCCCCAGGUCUGUCUUUCCUUACUGAAAACUUUAUUCAGAAAACUCUCAUUAGUUCAUGACCAGUAGGUGAAAAAAAUGCUUCAAGUACUGUUAUUUCGAACCACACCAUUCUGUAGAUGUAGUUCAAGUUUUCUACUGUUGAUUGAUAUCUGACAUUGGUAGAGGAUAGCUGGGUUUAAAAGCCAACAAACAUAUGCUCUUGAUAUUCUACAAUUUACAUCCCUGCUGUCUGCUGAUAUUUUUCUUGGUUGUCUCAAUUGCAGCUCCAAAGGUGUUUUGUCAAGAUCAUAACAUUGUGAGUUUGAACGUACGCAUACCGUUCAUUGCAGCGCACAUCAAUGAGAGGAAACCUGCAGGCAGCUGCUGCGGUUUCUGCUGCUUACAUUGGGAGCCUGCGUUAACCUUUGACACCAAAGCAUGGACCUUGCUAGUGAGAUAAAUCAAAUAUCAAAUGUAGCACUACUGCAACUCUAUCUGCUCUCUGGAGUUACAGGAAAUCUGAAGAUUGAAAAGGUCUGGACAAGCUGUGACUUUGAAAGCUACUCCGGUCACCAUGAAUAAUGCUGCGCCUUGUAAGAACUUUGCAACGUGGAUCAUCCGCACAAACAUAGGAGUAUGUAAUUGUUUGGCCAUUGAAGGGAAUAAAUUGGUUUUUGUUCGUCCAGUUUGUGCGAGUUGAGAAAAUAGGAGCCCUCCAAUUAUCUGGAACUGGAAAGAGGGAUGAAUUGUGGUUCCACUUAAUCCACGAAUGUUCACUGGAUGCCGAAUCAGCGAAUUUUCUCCUGCAUAAUUUCUCUACGACGAUCGCGUGUGUAGACUGCUUCCGCUGCCCAUGCAGGACACGCAGGCCUGCAGUGCCACUGAAACGGUUCGUUGCGCGUCGUGCGCCGGCAAAGCUUCCGCAGAGCCCGGAUGAGAUCGUGGCAGGUAGAGCCAAAGUUUAACUUGGGCCUUGUUUAGUUUAAAAAAAUUUGCAAAAUUUUUCAGAUUCUCCGUCACAUCAAAUUUUUAGACGCAUGCAUGAAGUAUUAAAUAUAAAAGAAAAUAAAAACUAAUUGCACAGUUUGGUCGGAAUUGACGAGACGAAUCUUUUGAGUCUAGUUAGUACAUGAUUGGAUAAUAUUUGUCAAAUACAAACAAAAGUGGUACUAUUCUUAUUUUGCAAAAAAAUUUGCAACUAAACAAGACAAAACCGAAGAAUUGAAGUUUAACUUGGGAUCUGAUAGAGCCAAAGUGAGUAGAACGGAGCAGAGUAUUACAACAUAAAAGGACGGCUAAUGCAAAUACAUGCAAUAGCACUACUAGUACUAGAUCAAACACUGAAACUUCCAAUUUCAUUUCAUAUAUAGAGGAAACAGUAAAAGAGAUUGCAGUACACUUGGUGCGGUUUUGCCACAAUUAUUCAACCCGAUCGAGCUACUGCUACUGCUCGAUCAACACAAACGCCCGCAUUGGUACUGUGUUGGUGUGUGGUACAAAUUAUUCAUAUCAAUACUUGUAAUGGCUGCCUGACCCGCGCGCGCGGCUGCACUUGUGCCGCCGACGCUGAGCCACCAGCGUACAGAUCAGCCACGGCCAGGGUACCCCGGAUAGCCGCCGCCGGUACCGUUGCCGCCAGGAUAGCCGCCGCCACCCGGCAGGCCACCGCCAGGAUAGCCGCCGCCGCCGCCGCCGCCUGCCACUGGUGCCGCGCCGAACGCCUGCUGGACCCAGUCGACGGUGGCCUUCUCGAGCAUGAAGGCCCUGGCGAGGAUCUCGUCGAGGAUGGGCGGCUUGGCGCCGAACACGGCGUUGGCGAUGGUGAUGGUGCCGGGGUUCUGGCUGCUGAGCGCGGCGAUGGCCACGGCGGGGGUCUUGCCGUUGUUGAGCUGGAAGUGGAUGAGCCCCUGCGGGAAGACGAACACGUCGCCCAUGACCAGCUGCUUGGUGAAGAGCGUGUUGUUGAGCAGCUGGUUGGAGGUGACGAAGCCCACCAGGAGCGUGCCCUGGAUCACCGUCAGGAUCUCCGACCCGCGAGGGUGCGUGUGCGGCGGGUUCUGCCCGCCGGGGACGAAGUCGAUGCGCGCCAGCGAGAUGCCCAGCGUGUUCAGCCCCGGGAUCUCCGUCACCGCCACCGGCGUCACGGCUGAGCCCUGCGCGUUUGCUGCCAUCGGCUCUAUGUGGAAGAAGAAGUCGUUUGCCUUCACCACCUUCGGGUUCUUGCAAACCACACCAUUCACCAGCACUGCAAGCACACGUCGACUCCACCCAUGCAUGUCAGUAGACAGUACAGUACAGGCAUCGCACAUAGCAUACACAUGACUUGCCUUUACAUGCAUAUGCAUACAUACAUGUCUAGAAAUACACUGUAUUGAACAAACUACUCGUACAUACAGCAAGAGCCAUAGUAUAGUAACAAUAUAUUUUACCUGCAAGGUUGUUGUUAUCAGCAACGCAGAAGUCCUGGAGCUGGGUCGGGUCAGUUGCCAGACCACCACGGGGAACUGAAGCAAAGCCCACAACUGCUAGCACUGCAAGCAGUGUAGCAAAACGGGAAGCCAUGGUUCUCUGUUUAUUUGCUAACUAGUGAUCAAGUGUGUGCUCUACAACACUUGCCAGGGCACCAAUUUAUACUGUCAUAAAGGUAGCUGUGCAGUAGUGGACUGCUUGCACGCUCUGCUCCACAAUUCACCAUCCAUCACUCUAGCUCACUCACUGUGUAGUUUGAGUAGGCAUCCACGAUAUGCUACUCGACCGAUGGCUUACGUAGAAUGUAUCUGUGUCUUGUUGUUACAGUUCCACUAACUGUUUCUUUACAUAUACAUGGUGUGAUAUAAUCACGUGCCUGAUAUCCUUGUGGAAUUACAUGCAUGCAGGUACGAUACGGUUGGAAAAUGUGGGUGAAGAUAACAAAUUUUUUUCAAUCCUUGUAACAUUCACCCACUACCACCACAAAGAUUUCCAAAAACCCACUUGUGACUUCUGAUCGAUCCCCAUCCGUAAACAAGUACAACUCCUGCACUGAAAAUUCUACGGGUGGCACCUCCUGAGAAGGUGACUAAAAUUUUCUUUAAACUCGCGUCUCCAGGACUCCAUAGUGCUUGUCCGCCAGGCCACACUAGUUUUGCUACAACCUCCCCUCCGAUCCCUAAUUAAGCCACUCUCAAUUGAAACCUCAAAAUUACCGAAAUCAAUUGCUGCUUUUUUUACCCGUACGUUGCUACGGGACAAUUAAUAUUUUAUAUUUAAAACAUAUAGAUCACACGAUAAGAUAAUAAAUCCAUAAUAAAAAUAUUAUGAACAAAACAUUCAAAGUGUCAUUUUUAUAACAAUAAUAUAACACAUGUUCAAUUUUCAUUAUGCCAUCACACGAGUAUGUAUACAACAUAUCUUUGUAGAGUCUGAUAAACCAUUUUAAAAUACCUAGGAACAACAACAAUAUAUGACGUUAGUGAGAUAUUAUUUGUGCAAUAUAAAUUGAAUGAAAAAAAAUACAUUGUAUGCAUUAGUAAUAUUCUGUUACCUCACUUACGGUGUUAGAACCUCCUUAAAUACAAUAUUCUUCGUGAAAGUUUACACAAAUAAAUAUCUCGGGGAUAAUGUUAUAUUGUUUUGUCUAAUGCAACGUAUUAUGUAUCUUUACUUAGAUAAUCUAACAACAUCUUUCACAUGACAUUUCAUACAUCUAGUCUAGUUUAGUUGAUACAAUCCAUAUACUUAUACGUGAACAACAAAUUAAACCCUAAGUUGGACACAAAAUUAGGAUAUAUGUAAGUUAGCAAGAAACAUUCAUAUUUGGCCUCUCCUUUAUUCAUUCCAAAGUUACAAUGAUUGGCUACUCUAAUGUCAAUGCUUAUGUCUCAGUUCUUGUUUGUUCAGUCAUCAUUUGUGUUUUAUAAGGCAAAUAGGGCAUCUUGUGAUAACUCCUAGUAUCUAAAUGGCUCUAUUCCACAACCUAACACUCUUGCGCGCGCGCACACACACAUGAUCCUUUAUGUGAACUUAGCAUAGCUUAGCUAGUUGAGUUCCACAUGGUGGAACUUGCCUACAACUCUAUUUGAAGUCCCCGAUUUGGCAUAUGUGCACAUAUUUUUCUAGAUUUACUCCAAUGUCUGAGCGGUGUUUUUGUUUUAGUGGUAGGCAACAUGCCUAUCCAAUAGAGUAUGUACCUUCAUAAGUAAGGAUUGAUUCACAAAAGAUGGUCCUUGAUUAUGGCUAGUGUAGCGCCAUAGCAAAAACUGCCACCACUCCCAUCCACUCGUGAACCCAUCCUCAUCUAUUACCCCUAUAGGUUUAAUGGUAGGCGAGAUGACCAUCCGGUUGAUCCUUGAAUUGAUUAUGGCUAGUGCAAUGCCAUAUAGCAGAAGCCAUCGCCGCUGCCAUCCACCCUGACUGAUUUCAUCCUCAUCUAUUACCACUAUAGCUUCAGUGGUAGGCAACGUAUUUAUCUGGUGGACUAUAUGUGUUUACAUUCAUAAUUGUUAUUCACAAAACAUGCUCCUCCAUUAUGGCUAGUGCAGUGCAAUAGCAAAAGUCGCCGCCGCUGCCAUCCACUCUUAUGUGAAUCCAUCCUUACCAUUGUUGGUAAACUGGUAAAGUGAAUUAUCUUUUAGUGAAUAGGAAGAAUUUUUUUGACAAAUGAUGCUGAGAAAGCCUGAUGAUUCCAUCAAUCGGAGCGCAUUGAGCAACAAAUUGACUUGUACAUGACAAACUUUAAGCAGAUUGAUAGCUGAUCGAUGAUAGAUAACAAAACCAAACUAAUUAAUAAACCCCAUCAUUGUGUGAUUCAUACGUCAUACUUUGAAAAAUCAGCAAGAUAACAAAAGGUUCUCAGUACAUGCGCGCAGUUCCGAUCCUAAAAUGCAUCCACCAGACCACUAACAAGGUUUCCAUAAGCUCCACUUCACUUGUGACGUUGGAUACGAUCAGUUCGUCAACAACACUUCUGGUUUGCACUGGAAAUCCCACUCGUAUGUACGUCGGCCAGGAUGGCAUACAGCACUCUGCGGAGGCAUUAGGUCACGGUGAGUAAUGGGCUAAUGGCAUUAGGUCACGGGCCAUUCUUCCCCAGUGCUUAUCCUCCCCGUGCAUUAGUAUUUGACCUUUAAUUGCCCAUGAUUAGUGUGUGGCGGCUGCGCAAAUGACAAGGGGUCACAAUCUCACAGAUAUAUUGGAAAAGGGAAUCGCGAUAGCACCCCAGCUGAAUUUGUGUAUUAUAUAGUCCAGAUUAUUGUGAGUCCUAAGAUUAACUUUUCGAUGCAAAUCAUGUAUAAUGCUAGGUCCUAGGACACGUAUGUAUCCACCAUGGAAGGGCUCAUGGGACUUGACAUUUUUUGGAAAGAAAUUUCAGUUAAAUUGAUUUUAUAUCUUGGGAAAAGCUAUAGUUUACUUAGACUAGUAAAACUAACAAAUCUUGCGAUAGUCUCAUAUCUCAUGCAUUUAGACAUUAUUUUUCUACGCAAAAGAUUUACACGAACACGAACGAAUUAAGAAGGUCACGGAAAGAAGGUGACAAAGAAGCUCCUCCUUCAAUCAACAAAUAAAGGAGUUUGCACUUUGUGGUGUUUUGCUAGACUAUCUAAAAUGGUACACUCUCCUUCAAUCAACAAAUAAAGGAGUUUGCACUUUGCGGUGUUUUGCUAGACUAUCUAAAAUGCUACACCUCAUAAACAGGUUUUCGUCCCAUCUAGUAAGUAGAAAGAAAGACAGAGUUGUAGAUAAGAAAAACGUAAAAGAGAAAGUACAGAAACAAAUUCAAGGUUUCUCAUACAAAACAUAAGACUAGGUCGUAGAAAAAAAAUGCCGAGAAAAAACUUUAAGAUAGAAAUACAUAAAAUUCUUGGAGGUAACUUUUUUUUACUCCCCGUAUUAAUUUAUAAGUUAACAAACACUAUAUUUUAGAGAACAAAAUAUGAAAAACUUUUGAAGAUGCUCAUCAAAAUCAAAAUUUUGUUACCACGUGACAAUCGCUACAAAUAAGAAAAAAAAAAGUUAAAAAGACAACUCUCGGCCGCCACUGACAUGUAGACAGCGCACAGCGAUGCUCCCCAAAAGAACAAAAAUGAAAAAACUAUUCAAGAAUUUGGGAUCGACCACGAUGGGACUCGAACCCACAAUCUCCCGCUCCGGAGGCGAGCGCCUUAUCCAUUAGGCCACGCGGUCAAAUUGUUGUUAUCUGCAGAUUUGUAUGGUAUCUAUACAAUAAAAAAUACGAGAGUUGGGCUUCCGUGACAAGAAGCCCAUCGGCCCACGAGAGUAUACUACGGAUACAUUCACAAAAAAAAAGAAAAGAAAAAAAAAGAAAGAGUAUACUACGAUACGAGGCCUUGAAAAUUUUGCAAAAUCGACCUCCUUGUGCACACCGCCGCCGGCCGCCCCCCGCUUGCCCGUCCUCUAGCUCCGUGCCUCCGUCGGCCGUCCUUAUCCUCCACCUCUCGCGCUGGCGCACCGCUGCGGAGCUGUUCCAGCGCCGCGCAGGAAUCGGAUCUUCCGCGCGUCGGCGGCUCCCCCUCGGCGGCGUCCAGCGACGGAGGGGCAGUCCAGGCUCGGCGGCGGCGUCGAAGGCUCCCCCUCCCGGCUCUCGCCAGUCGCCUCGCGCCCUCGCCUCCGUCCUCCGCGCACCGGCCGGCGACUCUGCGUACGCACCUCCCUCUCCCCUCCCGCCUCUACUGUAAGUGGGAGCCCGGCCAGCUGCCCAGGGUGGCCGGGCCUUGGCUCCGCCGGUCAUACCCUGGGUUCAGGGUCUGCCAAUGCUCAGUCCUCACCCAGUCCCUACCUCCUUACCACAGAUCAUGUCGAGAGCCUUAGCCCGUCGCCCAGUACCUCCUUUCCUGAAACUUCGCUCCACAGUGUGCGACGACGGCUACUGGAUGGGAAGAUUGGAUCACAAGGACUGGCUCGCCCCAAAUGAGGUGCUCAAGAUAUUUGCAAACAUCAGGGACCCUAGCCUAAUAAACAGUGUAUUCAAGAAGGCAUGCAGCCGGAUAGACUACAAGCCCAGCGAGGCGCUAUACAGCUUGAUGAUUGACAAGCUGGCCUUCGCCAGGAGGUUCAGUGAUGUGGAGGAGUUGCUGUCCAAAGCCAAAACUGAAAAGUUGAGGUUUUCGGACGAGUUCUUCUACAGGCUGAUCAAGAUGUACGGCAACGUGGCAGAACAUCCUCAGAAAGCCAUCGACACGCUCUUUGCAAUGCCUGGGUAUAAUUGUUGGCCUUCUACCAAGACGUUCAAUUAUGUUCUUCACAUGCUUGUGUGCAAGCGGCAGUACGAGGUUGUUCAUGAGAUCUACUCGAGCGCGCCCAGGCUUGGGGUGACAUUGGACACCUGCUCCUUCAAUAUUCUUGUCAAGGGUUUGUGCCAAUGCAGUAAAUUUGAUGAGGCUAUCUCCUUGCUGCAUGAGAUGCCGAAGCAAGGGUGCCAGCCUAAUGUGGCGACCUACUCGACCUUUAUGCAUUUCCUUUGUCAGCGUAGUCUGGUUGAUAAAGCAUUUGAGCUGUUUGAGAGAAUGCGGAAGCAGGAUAUCGCUGCAGAUACAGUUGUGUACAAUAUUUUGAUCUCUGGUCUCUGCAGGGAGGAAAGAGUGUCUGAGGCAUUCGAUCUCUUCAAAUCAAUGACUUCUGAAGGGUGUUAUCCUAAUUCUGGGACUUAUCAGGUACUUCUCGAUGGUCUCAUCAGUUUAGGAAAGUUUUUUGAAGCCAAAAGCCUUGUUAGCACUAUGAGUACAGAAGGUGUGAGGCCUAGUUUCCAAUCAUACAAGCUACUGAUUGAUGGCCUCUGUAGUGAGGACUGCGUGGAUGAUGCACAUCUUGUCUUGAAGCAAAUGGUGGGCCAAGGUUUUGUUCCUCGGAUGGGCACUUGGACAAAACUUCUCACAUCCAUCUUCUAAUUUUGGUUUUCACAUCAGUGAUUUCCUUGGCCUGACAAGACACAUGAACGGAAACUUCAAAUUUUACCAGACUCCUGAAUGAGGGUCGUCAAGUUCUGUUAGAGGAGCAAGUGGACAAAUGCAGGCUUGAGUUUGUGCUUGUAGUCUUGUGUACCACGGCUAUAUGAAUGCUGCCUGUACAUGAUUAUAGUUUGGUGUUAGCUUCCACGGAUGUCAACCUGAAAUAUAUAAGGCUGACAAAAAAAUCCAUUCAAUUUUGUAGGUUUGCAGCUUCAAAUUUUAAAAAACCUUUCAAAUACUCAAUGAAAUAUCAAUCUGAAUCCACAUCUAUGCAUUUGCAGGUGAUUUAUGCUUGGGCAGUUGAAUAACUAAUCUUCUAUGGACCUCUCCUGCAUUGUGAAUUCAGUUUCCAGGCUAACAAUAUGAAGAUGCAUGCCAUGAGUCUUUUUGGCCUUUUACAUCCUUGAAGAGGAACAGAGCAUCCUAAAUAGUUAGCUUCUUAGCUCUUCUGUUUUCUGUUCGUCUCCUUAACUAGCCACAUGACUAAUAUAUUCUGCUCACUAGGUUGCCUGAUAGUCAUGAAAUCCACAUGUUAGCCUUGUAAACUGUCCGUGGAGAACUAUGUGGAUCUGUACGUACAAGAUGGCCUUUUAAGCCCACUAGAUGAAGAUUUUCAAACUAUUACUCUCAGCAAUUUACUUGUUGCAGUUUUAUUUGCAGUUUUGAUCCGAUCUAAUAUCUAUUCACAUCAGGGAAAGAAUCUGGUGACCAAGGAAGCAGCAGCAUUGGACCAUGCUAUCACUGUUUGACUGAAAAGCCUGGGUUAAAGCCUGAAAGCCAGAUAUGCGUUUUGUGCAUUGCAUUACUGCAGUUGUUUUGCAAAGCGAACAAUUGUUCGGGUCUGCAUAAAGUUGCUGUAAAUGGUUCAUUCACAAAUUACAGUCGGGGAAGUGGGCACAGCAAUAUGCUGUUGAGAAAUUAGAAUUACUUGGAACAGCAAUAUACGUAUGUAACUGCGUAUGUAGUUGUGAUGAGAGGGAGUUGUGGUGGUCCGCAAACACCAUUUCAACUAUUGUUUGCAUUUGUUGUAUAAAAAAAACUAUUGUUUGCAAUGUACUUAGCCAGCCAUGUGCACCUGCUGCUAUUUUUUUUUAAAAAAAACAAUUGUUUGAAAAUGAUUAGCAUAUUCGAUGCGGGGUGUUGGAUAUCAAAGCGAUGUGAGAAAAUCGACUUUAACAGUGUAUUUCGCAUAAAAACGUGCUUCCUAGUGUUCAAUGGGUAAAUUUCUGCUCGCCUUUGGACAGGCUUAUUUCGCAUAUAGGCCAAAUGUUUGUUUCGUGUAGAGAAUACUGCAUGCCACAGCCAAAAGCAGGGCAGCCGAUCAGGUUUAUGUUCUUGUUCCUGUGCCUAUACGGCUAUACCUCAGAAUCCUGUGCAUGUUUGAGGAGCAUGUGGUGAACUGUUUUCUGGGAUGGGACGAGGGGAUGCCAAUCAGGCAUUCAGUGGCAGAUCAUCAGGCAGCUGUCAAGCCUGCAAACGAACAUAUAAAAAGGUUCUUGUUUUUUUUUUGGUUGUUUUCAUUCACAUCAUUUCGUUUCGCCCAUAUCACUCAUCCUUUUUCUGCCGCCGAGCAUGACUAGCUCGCCAAUAGCUAGCUGAUGGCCCAGUCGAUCGUCACCAAAUCAACACGAACCAUCGCGUCCUUACCGGCUAUCGGCUAUCGGCUAUCGUCCUCAGGUUCUGCCAUUGUUGCUUGUUUGGCCACCACCCAACUCCCAGGCGAACACGAGUAGUUGCCCAUUGACACUGGAAGGCAGGUGCCGGUGCACUGGCUGCUCCUGCUGUGUGUGAUGGGCCAUCCGUCACCACACCGGUAUUGAGCCGUGACCAAACUUUUGUCGUCACGUCACCGAUCGCGAGCCUCCCAAGUCCCCAAACGCCGAAACGCGCACGAAAAUGAGCCCAGUGCUUGGCUGCUUUAUUACAGGCGUUAGGCAGGAUGCGAUCAAGUCGUCGUGCUGAGUCCAGCACAGCUACGGAAGAUUCCAAGAAGCAAACAAGAAAACAAAGAGAGAGAGAAGAGAAAACGAGAGGAACGGGAAUCAUCAAUGAAUACGGAGUACGUUUUUAGAAUAAAAUGCAUAUAUUUUGCAGCCUAACACACUACUCCUCCGAUGUCUGAUUAGGCAUGGUUAGAUUAGGUACCAUCUCUCAAUCUUGCGCACAGUAGCGUUGACCAUUUGCCUAGUUAGUUAAUGGUUGGACAAUAGUUGCCAAAUACAGAAGAAAGUGCUACAGUAUCUAAAACCAAAAAAUUUCUCCAACUAAGGGACUGUUUAGUUGGUGAAAAAUUUUGGUUUUGGAUACUGUAGCACUUUUGUUUGUAUUUGAGCCUGUUCGCUGGUCUGAAAGCCAUGACUGAAAGUAUUGUACAUUGAUUUAUUAUGAGAUAAAAAAUACUACUGGCAGGCAGAAAAAACACGGCUUAUAAGACAAGCGAACGGAGCUGUUGUCCAAUUAUAGACUAACUAGGCUCAAAAUAUUUGUCUCGCAAAUUACUGAUGAAUUAUAUACAAUUAGUUAUUUUUUACUUAUAUUUAAUGUUUCAUGCAUGUACUGUAAGAUUCGAUGUGACAAAAAAUCUUGAAAUGGUAGAAUUUUUUCAGGAAUAAUAGCCCCCAAACAAAGCCUUGAGGCCUUGUUUAAUUGUAUUUUUUUUAAAUGGACACUAUAGUAUUUUCGUUUAUAUUUGAUAAAUAUUGUCAGAUCAUGAACUAACUUAGACUCAAAAGAUUCGUCUUCUAAAUAUAGACAAACUAUGCAACUAGUUAUAUAUAUAUAUGCGCUACAUGUAUGUGUCGUAAGAUUCAUCAGAAAUUUUUUUAAAAAAUUACAAAAUUUUUAAGGCCUUGUUUAGUUCAUGAAAUUUGUUGGUUCGGGAUACGGUAGUACUUUCGUUUUUAUUUGGUAAUUAUUGUUCAAUCAUAGACUAACUAGGUUUAAAAAAUUUAUCUAGUAGUUAUAGAUAAACUGUGCAAUUAGUUUUUAUUUUUGUCUAUAUUUAAUACUUUAUGCAUGUGCCACGAGAUCUGAUUUGAUAGAGAAUUUUAAAAAGUUUUUGAUUUUAAACAAGGCCUCAUUAUCGUUUUGCUGCAGUGUUUUUCCUGCUCUGAGAAUCCUCCGUUGUCGGAGGGCACAUCACUGCACUGACGCUUGACGGGGCGGUCAAGUACACACCAAGCCGAACCUUCACGGGCAGCAAAAAGAAACUCGUAGACGGCUGGAGUGGACGACGAAGCCGCCGUCGGUCCAUCACGUGACGCGAGCAACGCGGAGGAAUUGGAAGCCUUGUUUAGUUCUUAAAAAAAUUUACAAAACUUUUUAAAUUCUUCAUCACAUCGAAUCUUUAGACGCAUACAUAAAGUAUUAAAUAUAGACGAAAAUAGUAGUUCAUGAUCAGAUAAUAUUUAUCAAAUAUAAACGAAAAUGCUACAAUAUCAACUUUUUAAAAAAUUGUUGGAACUAAACAAGGCCAACUGGAACUGGGGCCUGGCCCCCUGGCCCUGGCCGCGGAGAGCCACGCCAAUUUGACUCGCACAAAUCCUGGCAGCUUUCUCGAUGCCAAGCUACCCCACGUCCUGUACAAAACUCGCAACGCAGCUUCUGAAUUUGGAGGCACUCAAAGCUCGCGAAAACCGCCAUUACAAGCUUGCGCCCGCUUCGAGUCCUGCUCAAGCAUCACUCACACUCACAGGGACAGGGCACGGCAACUUUCUGCGCUCAGGUGCCCGUUCUGUUCUUGUCAUCACACCAAACGAGCGGGCAGCUAGCAGAAACCAGAAAACACAACAGAGUUUGGCCGAUGGGAUCACUACUCACUGCUACGAGGAAAUUACCAGGGGAUUAGUUUUUUCUUUUAAAAAAAUAGCUGUUUUGUUUUUUUUGGCAAAUUCUCAGGAAUACGUAGUACGGAGUACUGCAUGCCAGCCAACUACACGCAAAAAGGAGAUUCAUUGGACAGAAGAACAAAAAAUGUGAAAAGAUUCUGGUACAGUAGCACCCCACAUGUGCUUAUUAUGACGACCCGACCCGGUAGUAUAGAAAUUAGAAACGCAAACGCCCCUCCCGACGACUUGCUCCGCCUCCAUCUCCUUCUCCUCCCUCCCUCCCUCCUCAGCUGCUGUCACCUGACCUCCCUCCCUCUCCGCGUCGCUCCCCAUCCCGUCCCAUCUUGGCCUGGACACCUGGGCUGCCCCCCCUUCGUUUCCGCGCGCGCGGACACGCUGAGUCGCCGCCCGAAUCCUCCCGCCUCCCCGCCGCUGCCAACGUCGAUCUGCGACCGCGACUCCGCGCGAGGUGGGGUGAGCGAGUUCCCUCGCCGUGAUCCAGUUUUCUUUCCCCCCGUCGUUUCUUGAGCUCUCGCCACGCGUUUUGGGUGUUGUUAUUCGCCGACACUGGUGCCUUUUCUCCGUGUUGUUCAUGGAGAUCCUUCUGUUCUGUCUGCGUGUGUACCUCUACUUUGAUGCACAUGCAAAGGUUUGAUCUUGAGAUGGAUUUUAAUCGUGCGUGGGUCGCGUGGUAUGCAGAUUCAGAAGGUAGGAGGAGGGGAGACGAGUUCCUGUCGGUUUCAUUCUUGGCCGCCGACUUCACAUGCCAACAACCCCAAGAAGCAGAAGCCAGGCUAGGACCACUAGGCCUUGGAUCUUGUCAGGUACAUCAAUUCCUUCCCGGCUUUACGCUCCUCUCUGUUUCCCCCCUUUUUUGCUUCUAUAAUAACUCCAAUGAUCUGUCUUUAAACAGCAAAGAGGUGAUUUUUGACCACUAAAUUUCAAACCGAAAUGCCAUCCUUUCAAGUUUACUGUGCACCACAAAAAAGAAUAUAUAUAUAUAUUAAAAAAAAACUGAACUAGCUGGUCAUGUAAAUUUACUUUCUAUUGUGUGCUGGACCUUCAAAUGUUUUUAGUACAAAACCAAUAAACACAUGAGACUGCAUAUGUGAAUCCCCAAACUUGUGUGCUGGACGUUCAAUUUUUUUUUGUACAAAACCAAUAAACACAUGAGACUGCAUAUUUGAAUCCCCGAAAAUGAGUGGUGCUGAGUAGAAUUAACUGAUCUUUCGCGCACUCGGACCACAAUUGAACCAGCCAUCAUAUUUUACUUUGUGCAACUUUUAAAUUUCUCCCUGUCUUUUUCACAGGGAUGGACUUUGCUGAUUCGCGACGGAAGCCUAAUUUCACGGGGAAGAUUGCCGUGGCAGCUGCACUCACGGUGAUGUGCAUAAUCGUGUUGAAACAGUCCCCCAGUUUCAGCGGUACCAGCGUGGUACGUGCUGAAUCUCUCCACAAGAACUACCCCCCAUGUCACUGUCGCUUGCUGUUGAGUUGGCACUACUUGUCAUUAUUCCUUCUUCCAGACGACUUAAGUACACUGCUUAUUUUCCAUGGAACAUCAACGCGAUGGGUUCAUGUGGGAACUGCCAUUAUGGUGAUUGGAUGAGACAUUUGUGCGAUGAAUGAUGCCUUCUAUUCUCAUGGUUUAAUGCUUGCUGUUGUAACUCUAUUGUGCAAGGGUUAUUUUAUCCUGAUACAUUAUUGUGACUGGGUCAUUUUACUAAUACAUCUGUGCUAUUGUACCAGGGUUAUUUUACUGAUACAUAUAAGCAUCAUUUGUUCUUGAUAGUUAUAACUCUGUCACAGUUGCACAGUUUCAGUAAUUUCCUAGAAGUCGUUCAAUUCAUGCGUGUAGUUCUUUAUUAAUAGUUUUUUUUAAUCUUUCCAACUGGAGGCAUUUUGUUGAUGCACUCACAUUUCCUGCAGUUCUCUCGCCGUGAAACUGGGGUGACCCAUGUGUUAGUAACAGGGGGAGCUGGGUAUAUUGGCUCACAUGCUACUCUUCGUCUCCUUAGUGACAACUACCGAGUUACCAUUGUGGUAAUCUCUUAUUCCUAUCUCCCAUUCCAUUCCUCACUAACAGUCUGAUGGUAACAGCAACUAAUGUUUACAGGAUAACUUAUCAAGAGGGAACAUGGGAGCUGUUAGAGUUCUUCAACGGCUAUUUCCAGAACCUGGAAGGCUUCAAUUUAUUUAUGCUGAUUUGGGCGAUGCCAAAGCUGUAUCCUUCCUUUGAAGUUUAAUAACUUAGUGCUCCCCCUCCCCUUACAUAAAAUGUAUUGCUGAGAUUUGUUUUGCACUUAACCAAUAAUCAGGUGAACAAAAUAUUUUCGGAGAAUGCAUUUGAUGCUGUUAUGCACUUUGCUGCUGUUGCUUAUGUUGGUGAGAGCACAAUGGAGCCACUCAGGUAAAGGCUUGUUCUAGGCAUGUAAUAUGCUGGUUUUCUUUUUUUUGCUCAAGUAUUUCAAAGCUUCUGUUGAUUUUUCUUUGAUGUGUAUGUGGUAUUUUGUUAAAUUAAAUUAAAUUUAUAAUGGAAGUCCACACGAUUUUUGUCAUUCUUGGAAGCCUAUCUUCAUCUUUAGCUCAAAAUGCUUCUAUAGUUUAAAUGGAUGUAGUGCAGGUUUGAUUUUUUUUUGUUCCAACUGUUUUCUAUGCUGCUUCCUUGGUAUUAGCUCACCGUGCAAAAGUCAUGUGCAGAAAAUGUUGUUCUUCCUAACCAACUGUAUAUACUCUGUUAACACUGCUAUAACAGGUACUACCACAACAUAACAUCAAACACAUUGACAGUUCUUGAGGCAAUGGCAGCACACAAUGUAAAUACUCUGAUUUACUCGAGUACAUGUGCAACCUACGGUGAACCUGAUACGAUGCCUAUUGUAGAAACAACUCCUCAGGUUAGCCUCUCAAUCCAUGAGUUUUUACCUUCCUUAAUUUUAUAGAUGCUGUCAUGAUUCUAACUAUUUUCUAAACCACUGCAGAAUCCUAUCAAUCCAUAUGGUAAGGCAAAGAAGAUGGCAGAGGACAUCAUCUUAGAUUUUACAAAAUCAAAGAAACAAUCAAACAUGGCUGUCAUGAUUUUAAGGUUGGUUUUCAGCAGCCUAUAUUAGAUUGCAAUACAUGGAAUAGUUCUAACCUCUUUCCUGCUCUGUAUAAAUUAGAUACUUCAAUGUGAUUGGAUCAGACCCAGAGGGACGUCUAGGAGAAGCUCCAAGGCCAGAGCUUCGUGAGCAUGGACGGAUAUCUGGUGCUUGCUUUGAUGCAGCUCUGGGAAUCAUUCCAGGGCUAAAGGUAUUCUACAUGCUCAUUUCAGUGCCGUCAGUUCCCUCUUUUACUCUUGUAUAAUUAGCUGCAUCCAUUAAUUUUACAUGAAUAACAAUCAUAUAUAUUUGAUUCUUUGCUCUUUCAGGUUCGUGGAACUGAUUACCCCACUGCAGAUGGAACUUGCAUUAGGGACUACAUCGAUGUCACAGAUCUUGUAGAUGCCCAUGUCAAAGCUCUUGGUAAAGCUGAGCCAGGCAAAGUUGGAAUCUACAAUGUCGGAACAGGACAAGGUUGUUGAAAGAUCAAUAACCAAUAACCAGAUCAAAAAAAUUUCAGAGAAAGAUACCCUUUUAUUUAAGAUCAUAAUCAUAUGCCUUCCUCUGUCUCUGAACAUGGUGUUUUUUUGUCUUAUCAGGUAGAUCAGUGAAUGAGUUUGUGAAAGCUUGCAUGAAGGCAACAGGAGCUUCCAUCAAGGUUGAAUAUCUUGCCCGUAGACCCGGAGAUUAUGCUGAGGUAUACAGUGAUCCAUCGAAAAUCUACAAGGACCUCAACUGGACAGCCCAAUACACUGAUCUUGGCCAAAGCCUUGCCCAGGCAUGGAAAUGGCAGAAAGCGCACCCAAACGGAUAUGGAUCAGCCUGAUUCAGAGUUCAAAGGUUGAGAGACUCAUCACGCAGAUCCAAGGGGUCUAUGUGCAGUGAUAUAGCCUUCAGAUAAUUGGUUCUUCAACAUAGAAACAUAGCAAACAGCAACACAAAAGUCGUGAUUCUUUUAUUGCAGUGCUGGAAGAAGACAAAAGUAUCACAGAGAGAAUGCACUACCUGUUCCUUGAUUAGUUUCAUAUAUAUAGGUCCUCUUUUUGUUGUUGACAUUUUAAUAUAUUUUGAUGUGUGCUGAGGCACUAUAUAAUAACACAAAUGAAAUUGUGUUGUAGACAGGGUUAGAUCAAUCUCGUGUAUCAACCUUCGUUGUGGUAGAAUGAAAGGAUAUAAAUAAGUUGAUGUAUGUUUUUGUUUCCCAACUUGUUUCAAGUCUACACAAGGCCUGAUUGUGCCAGGUUCAGCGAGCUGAGCUCCUUGUGUUUUGAGAUACAUUGAGUCAGUGACACAAGCAUUUCUUUGAAAGGUGGUCUCACAUGCAAAUAUUAUACAGAGAACAUGUGAUUACAUUCAUGAUCGCUCAAAAAAAAAAAGGAAAGAAAAACAAAAGAGUGCUGGUUUAGUCAGCCCGAAGCCCCCAACAUCACAUGGGAGGGUCUUGGUCGUUCCAUGUGGACUUGUAGGCUCAUGACAGAUAUCCCAUGGAUGUAGAGAGCUAGAGGAACGCCCCCCUAUUUGUGUGUACACUUGUUCAUUAACUCACUCUACAAGUUCCACUUAUGGAUCCUCCUCCCCUCUAUUUUAGUUGGUUCAUGCCUUCUAUAAAGCUUACCAACAGUUGGGACAGAUAGACAUGUAAAUUGGGUUUGCAUAAUCCCAGUUAAUUCUUCCUUCACCUUUGCCUCCUUAUAGGCUACCAGCAUCAGAUCUUAGACUGCCUAAACAAGUCAAGGACCUGGUGACACUGACAUGUCACACGAUGAUGCUGAUCUGGCGAGGCAAAGUGGCCAAAUAGGGAAAUCACACGCAAUUCACAUGCCCAUUCCGUCAAUUAAAUUGGUAUAACAUGUAGUAGGAGCACUAAAAAGGCCCAAAGGGAGAGUAUACCAGCAAUCUAAGCAACCCAUGAAUCCAAAAACACACGCAUGGACACUAAGUCAAACAUAGCGGGGGCGUUCCGUAGUUUCGAUGAACUCACCGACAGGUAUGUUCUCAGUUUUUUUCUGAAUUCGGAAGUCGGGGGCGUCGUCGUCGUCAGAAGAAAUCGAACCAGGCCUCGAGAUACGAGAGCACGAGCAGGAGCAUCAGGGGCAGCAGCCUCUCAGGUCCAGCUGCGUACCACAGUAAGGCGCCCGCGGCGUCCGCGGCGCGGCGGACGAGAACCGGAGGCCGCGCGCCUGGCGCCCGCAUGCCGUACAUGACAAGCAGCAGGCCGCCGGACAUGAGCCCAAGCGCCAGGAUGACUUGCCACGUGGUGAAGGGGUCCAGAGGCGUGCCGCCGGGGUCGUUGCGGCCGACGACGACGAGCAGGAGGUACGACAUGGCGGUGGCCACGGCGGCGAGCCCGGUGCCGACGAAGUCGGCGCGCCCAUGUAGCUCGCGCCCGUUCCUCGCGCGAUCCAUGCGCUCGUACGUCCUGGAGCGUCGGCGGGCGUCGGCGCGGCGGAGUGCUGACGCCGGUGGGUGUACUGGGCACUCCACCUGCUGCUGCUGAUGAUGAUGAUGAUUUCUUUUCCGCAACGGCGGCGAUCUUUGCGGUGGUUGCCAGCAGCAGAAGCGCGGUGCAGCUUUAGACUCGAGCAAGGCUGCAUAUAUAUAUAUAUAUACCAGCCGGCCAGCCGGGGAAUGCAGUUUCAUAGAAUUAGCACGGAAAUUGUACUUCCCAAAUGAGAACUGAGAAGUAUCUGGGAAGAUGUACUCUGCUUGUCGGAUUGAUGCGACGAAUGCGGCAGAUUCUUUCUCGGACGUUUCCUUUCCUAUAACAUUUUGCAAUGCGUCGAUUCAUGCAGCGCAAAUUGAAAUCGAGCAAAUGCUGAAUUCUCUAUGGACAGUUGAAAGCAUAUACAUUUAUGUGGAUGAUACGAUGCAACGUCCAAUUUCACUGCCUGAUAGAUGGUUGUCUUGUCUGGUCCGUGAUUGAAACUCUGAACGCAUCUCUUGAAUGAGUGGGGAAACAAGAAUACUCUGAACUCUGUUCAUGUAUAAUUGUUCCCAAUAAAACUAAUCUACAGUUUUUGCUGUGUAACCUGCUAAGUUACAAUCAUUCAAGGAUCAUUGUAGAACCUACAGUACUUUUGGUUUCCGGCAACAGUGAUGAUGAACGUGCAAAUGUUGCAGGAAAGCGCGCCAGAUCGGACAACAAAAGAAGAUUUACAAAUAUUAUAACACUGCUGCAGUCUGUUAGUCGUCUUCAGUUCAUUUUAUUUUACUUGUUUUACUUCAGUAGUAUACUCCCUCCAGUCUUUGCUAGAUACAUUAAUUUUAGUAUCUAUGUAGACAUAAUUUAUAUAUAAGUAGGUAACAAAAUCUAUAUAUGUAGAAAAGCCACACACAAAAAUAUAGGGGAUAAGACCACUUCCGGCAUUGCUAUGAUAAAGAAAAGACUUUCUCACACAGGUUGAGAAAACUCCUAAACCCAAACCCCACCCUAACACAGGGGCACCGUUGCCUAUUGAGAACCAAGCCCCUGUGCUUUGGUCAUGAGAUAGAUGAGGAGAUUUUUUUAAUCAUAUCUUAAAAUUCGCUCCCAUGGGGAAAUGAAGAUGAAGAAUUUUUUUAACCAUAUCUUGAAAUUUGCUCCUCUGAAAAGUCAAAUCCAGGGCCUAUGGAGUGCCGCUGAAUCAGAUGGACUGUAGUCUCAUUGGCCAAAAUCUAUGUAUCUAAAAAAGAUGGUCAUUUCAAUUUGAUUACAUGUCCAUUCGUUCUGAAAUAAAAUAAAAUACAAACUGAGCCAUUGUCCUUGCAUGCUUCUGAAGUUUUAAUAGUUUCCAUGCGAAUACUUUUUUUAAAAGUUCUUGCUCCUAUUGAUUUUUUAGAUUUCUCUAGGAUACUCAGGCCUUGUUUAGUUUGCAAAAAUUUUGCUUUUUGGUAACUGUAGCACUUUUGUUUUUAUUUGACAAACAUUGUCCAAUCACGAAGUAACUAGGUUCAAAAGAUUCAUCUCACAAAUUACAAGUAAACUGUGCAAUUAGUUUUUAUUUUUGUCUAUUUUUAAUGUUCCAUGCAUGCGACUAGAGAUUCGAUGUGACGGGGAAUCUUGAAAAUUUUUGCGAACUAAACAAGGCCUCAUCUUAGGAAUGCAACAUCCAUUGUAUGUUGCUGAAUCCAGUUGUUCGGAUAUUUCAGAAGGAAAAGGAGAUGCAACUGAAGAAGGAGACAGGUAGUACGCAGUAGAGCUAUUAUUUGUAAAGCGAAAUUGUAAGCAGGAUUUUUUAUACAUAAUUGAGAAGGAUUCGAUUUUUCCCUGAAACUCUGAUGGUGGGCAUGGAUGGGCACAUGGACCAUGCGUGGCCAUCGCCAUGGCGAUAUGACCGGUUGCAAUAAAAAACACACUAGCUUCCAAAUGACCCACGUCGGUUAGAAUUUAAGGAUUAAAGAUCCUCCCUUCCUAAAUUCCCUAGCAUGAUUUUUUUCUUUGGAAAAUGACACUGUUUUCUCAAUAUAGUUUCACGAAAGCUAAUUAAUUGUUCUGAACGUCAUUUAGAAAGCGAAGCCGGCAAAGCCGCUGGAAGCUAAACAAAUUAAAUGGCCUGGAGCCAAGAGAUGUAACGUCAGUCUCACUCGUGUUAUUUAUUUCUCAUGAAGAAUUCACAUGUAAUUGGCUCUUCAUUUAUAUUAAUAAGACGCUGGUAACUUGUAUACCAAUAAGAUCUUGUUUGGAUGUAGUCGGAUUCACAUCAAUCCACAUGUGUUGAGGUGGAUUAGAGUGAACUUGAACUAAAUUUCACCCUAAUCCACACCAACACACAUGUAUUGAAAUAAAUCUGAUAGCAUCCAAACAACACCUAAUGUGGAAGUACUUCCGUCUAAUAAAAACUGGCAAAGCUUUUACCGUUUAAAAAAAAACAAAAUAAUGUGGAAGUAGCCAUGCUGAGCCUUCAUUCUAUGUAGCCGAGGUUGUUGGGCCUUGUUUAGUUCAACCCGAAAACUAAAAAAAUUUCAAAAUUCUUCGUCACAUCGAAUCUUUCGACACAUGCAUGAAGCAUUAAAUAUAGACGAAAAUAAAAACUAAUUGUAUAGUUUAUCUAUAAAUCACGAGGCUAAUCUUUUAAUCUUAGUUAGUCCAUAAUUAGACGAUAUUUGCCACAAACAAACGAAAGUACUACAGUAGCGAAAUCCAAAAUCUUUUCGCAUCUAAACAGGUCUUGGUUUAGUUUGACGUGCCCGUUUCUGUUGAAACAUACUAGCAGAACUGGUUCGGUUUUUUUUCCCUGAAAAAUGCCGAUGGCAUCGACGAGAGCCACAUGCCAUGGCUUCCGUCAGAAACUGGUCUUCCUCAUAUAUGACAGUGUAAACUGAUUGGCUAAAACAACACUACAUAUAUAUUCUUAAAAAGCAAAUCAGCCAUUCAGCCAGUAGCUUCUGCGAAAUACAGCACACAGCAGUUCAGUUCCAUGGAAGGCCUUUGUACUGCAGUUCGUCCAUCCGUGCUCGGCCAGGCGGAUGCCGUACAUGGUGACGUAGGCCUCCUUUAGUGCACGAAAACCUUGUUCAGUUGCGGAAAUGAAAAAAAUUUGGCCACUAUAACACUUUCGUUUGUUUGUAACAAAUAUCGUUUAAUUAUGGACUAACUAGGCUUAAAAGAUUUAUCUCACAAUUUACAAGCAAAUUGUGUAAUUAUUAUUAUUAUUGACUAUAUUUAAUGCUUCAUGAAUAUGCCACAAGAUUCGAUGUGACGGGGAAUCUUGAAAAGUUUUUGGUUUUCUGAGUGAACUAAACAAAGCUAUAUAUUUAUAACUAUAGUAAGAUUCGUUUCACAAAAUACAUGUAAACUAUAUAAUUAGUUAUUUUUUAAUGUAUAUUUAAUGUUCUACGUAUGUGUCAAAACAUUUGAUACGAUAGACAAAAAAAUAGAUAUGCCUUGUUUAGUUCAUCCUAAAAACUAAAAUUUUUCAAGAUUCUUCGUCAUAUCGAAACUUGCAGCACAUGCAUGAUAUAGAUAAAAACAAAAACUAAUUGCACAGUUUGUCGCGAGAUGAAUUUUUUGAGCCUAGUUAGUCUAUGAUUGGAUAAUAAUUGUCAAAUAAGAACAAAAGUGCUACCGUGCCCAAAACAAAAAAAAUAGAACUAAAUAAAGCAAUAGUCCCCUGGUUCCCCUUUGCUCACUUGCACUGUAGUCUACUCUCACAGAGAAAGCUGUCUGCCCCCAUGGUUUCUGCGGCGCAAUUGCCUGCUUCCGGCGAGCCAAGCCCAGCCGAGACGAGACCGGACUGCCGACCCAGACGGCCCAGACCUGCGGCUGGUGGCGGUCCGGUCCUCCGGCUACCGGCGGUCAGGUCACGCGCAGCAGCAAGUCCGCAUCGCUCGUGCGCCGCGCUAGGCUCAUCGGCCAGUCACCGUCCGGCCGAUGUUUUCCUCCUCCUGCCGUCCUACGUGUCGCCGCCGUGUGUCACUGUCCGUCCUUGAAGUCGAAGCAACUUCGCAAUUCGCACGUAGGUUCGCGACAGUCGGAGCGUUUAUUUGGACAUGGUUACUCGCUUGUGUUUAAUAUAAUCGGCAUCAGGUUUGCAGACUUCAGUUAAACAACUAAACCAGGUGCUGCUAACUUGGUUAGCCUUCCAAAAAGGGGAUUUCGUACUCUCUUGUCCUUGUCCAGCUUGUGCCGAGUGCUGACAGGGCUAGUCAAAGCCCAUAUUCUCUUGUAUUUAAUCAGCGAAUCAUGUGGGUACUAUUACCAUCAGUGACAGAGCUCAGAUGGAUCUUCUAGUAGUACCUGAAAGCUGUCAAAUUCCAGAACAGAUCCUUCGCAGCGCAAUUUCUGAGAAAACCUACUGGCUAAUGACAGUGACCUGCAAAGAAUGUCUCCAGAAGGUACUAAUGUUUGUACGUGUCAUAUUUAACUCAACAAGUGAAAUGAAGAUCAAAUCAAGCCUCCAUGAGUUAAGGAUUAACAAGGGACAUAGGGCCUGCAAGUCUGUUCAUUUUUUCUGAAAACCUGUGGCUAAAGAUACUGUUUGCUGAUUUAUUAUAAGAGAAAAAUAUUAUUGAAUGGCUGGUAGAUUCAGCAGAUAAGCUCAAGCGAACAUCGAGAUCUUUACCAACAAAACACACCGCCAACUAGUAGUACUUGCAGCUCCUAAUCUUGUUUAACAUUUGAACAACGGCAGUGGCAGUUGCAACAUGAACCUUUGUUGCUUCCUGCGCUAUCAUCAUGGCUAAGUAUAUAGAGCCAGCCAACACUACACAUGUGUUUCUGCAAUUCCAUGCCUACACAUCAAAAAGGAAAAUGAUGAAACGAGUGAACAUCCCAAGUUCAGUCCGCAUACCAACUCAAUGGCUAAUGUUGAAAAAUAAACUUCGCCUCGGUAUAAUGCACUAGGUUUUUCUUUUGCCUAAAAAGCAACAUUCAGCAACUCAGGUGGUUAUGUUCCAAAAUUUUAUUAUCAUGCACCUGUGGCUUUGUUUUCUGCACAUGGUCUGCAUAAUUUUCCAAUUUAAUUGAGCAAGUACCAAAGUUAAUUUUCCAGUAUUGAUGUACAGAUUUCACUUUUGAUGAAAGCAUAAUACUAGAUCUAGAUGAAAGCAUUUUAUAUUUAAUCACAUUUAUACUUAUGAUGUGUAUAUAUGUAAGUGUUUGUAUUUGUACUGUGAUUUGUAAAAUAAAUGUUAUUGGUUAUUCAUAAUUUUUUAUAAAUAUCUUAUUUUGUGUUUUAUUAAUAAUUUUUGUUAUAUAAAUUUAGUUAAUUAAACUCUAAAGAAUUCAACAUGAGAUUGCUUCUCUUUUGUGUAUCUGCAACAAACUAAGUUCCUGACAACGAGAAAUAGCAGCUGCCAGCUGGUCGAUACAUAGUGUCUGUAUUACUGUAUACUAGCACCAUAAAGCCAUCAACAUCCCCUUGCAUAGUGCAGAUUGAACCGUUCAAUUGGUAAGCCCAAGAAGUACACAAAUUAGCAGCUGGUAGAUACUACUAGGUCAGGUAAACACAACUAACUUUCUGCCACCCAAAAAGGUUACACCUAGCAAUUUCCAGAUGCGAGCUUGUCCUACGCUCCGGCCUCCGUAACUGAGUGAAGGAACAAGGAAACAUGUUAACAUCAGGACAGACAUUCAUCAUCCUGAAAAUUGUGUAACAUUCACUAAUUUAUCCAAAACAAUAAGAAGUCAAACAAGGAGAGUCACUUGCGAUGGAAGUACAGUAAGUUUUAGAAACACACAUCUCUUUGGUUCAAACUGUGGACAUGUCAAAUUAAGAAUAAGAAGACAAUGUGCCAAGCUAUUUGCGCUUCCAACAACAGCUAAGGCAAUAUGCUUUCCGACAAAUACUAAGCAAACAAUUAUCUUGCAAAACAUACAGAAAAUGUAAUAUUUUACCCCCCAAAAAGGUACAGAAAUGAAAUUGUGUAAACAACCACUACAAACCUACAAGAGGAAUCUCCGCAAAAAAAAAAAAAAAAAAAAAAAAAAAAAAAAAAAAAAACAAGAGGAAGGUGGAGCACAGAGUUCAAGUACCAAUGAAAUGUAUCUGGAAAGGAAAAGGCAACGGUACAAUAAAAAAAUAUCAUCGGUUGAAAGAGUCAUCAGACCAUCUAGUACUUUCUCAGUUCAUGCAUUGAUUGCAUGCCUAUUAGACAUUGAUCAAAUAAGUUGGACAAAUGGAAGCCAUCCACCCAAAAUAUGUUGGCUUUGCGAUGUGAGAUCAAGAUAACCUCACUAAAGCAGCAUAGGUCCUUGUAUUUUCAAAAUUAAUGGAAGUGAGAUUAUAAACAUUGAAGUUUGUUGAUCAAAAGCUGAAAGUUCAAAUACAAUGUGGAAAUGGGAGAAUUUACCCAAAAAAAGCAGAAGUAUGAAACUCUGAUUCAACCAUUUCAAACAAUGAAGGUCAAAUUUUACCUGCUCCAAUCACCAUAUUAGAAGCUACUAGUUUCAUCAGUGCUCACUUUCAAAGUAGGAAGUUGCUCGAAUUAUGUAGACCUGCACCACUUGCACAAGAGAAAUUGCUUGGUCAGCAUUAUUACAAUCAAUCAUAGAUUUCGCGUAGUUAGUCCUUAAGAAAAACAGAUGGUACUGGAACAUGACAGAUAAGAGGCCAUGAUAACAUCUGAAUCUGAUAACUGGAAACAAUUGAAGUAAAUUUGUACAAAGGUCAAGUUUGGAACAAGACAGAUUUUUAUUUCUUUCUAAAGAAAAGAACCUGUGAUUCCAUAAAUUUGGGUUAUUCUUAUUCAGUUCCCGGCAACACUCAACCACCAUGCAAGUUCCACUGACGAUUCAGACAUGUUGUUGCUAUGCAAAAUAGAUCUCAAUCACCUUGAACUUUGUCUGCUCAAUGAGUUGGAAGACCAAGCAAUCUCCAUCAUGCAGCUUGUGCUCGAUGGCGAACUCUUUCCAUCCAGUGCUGAGGCCAGCCUUCUUUGCGAGGUAGAGCGUGUCUGACUCGUCACCCUCCUCAUCCACCACCAGGGUGAUCGUCUCAUCACUCUUGGGCAGGUGCUUCCGGCAGAAAUACGUCGGGAGGCCCUGCGAUUUCACACGCCAACCAAACAAGAAUUUAGCACGAUGGGGGAUGAAUUAAUAAUCGAAAACAACAGGACGGUGCCGAACUGAAGCUUCCUCUAAUUUACCAGCCAGAAGCCUCUGGUGACAUGGGACUGUAUCAUGGGCUGGAUGAAGAUGGGGAAGCUGGAGCCCAGAUCUUGCACCAGCUCCUCAGCCUUAGAGAUGGCGUAGCUCCUCUCGGCAGCGUCCAGCGGCACCCUUGCAUUAUACUUGAGCAGCUUCUUGACCCUGACCUGCAGAAAUGCCGAUUGAAUAAAGAAAGGGUUAGCCAGAGAAAAGAAGGCCUCGAGCGACACAAGUUCACACUGACCUGGUAGUACACGGGCUUCUCGGGGAGGUCGGCGAGUCGGCCGGACCGCCGUAGCGGCUCCACGCCGGCGGCGGCACCGUCCCGCGGCACCCGCGCCUUCCACUUCUUGGCCUGCAGAAAAAAAAAAAGCCGAUUUGGAUAAAGUAUGUAUACCCAGAGAAUGACACAGAAAAGAAGGCAUGGAGCGACACAAGAAGCAGCGGUCUGCGGUCAGUCAAGAAUGAAACCGGGACACACCGGCGAGGGUUUGGCAGCGGCGGCGGCCUCUCUGACGGCGGCGGAGAGGCGGUGGAGCUGCAGCUCGUCCAGCUUCCGCUUGUUCGCCUCUACCUGCCUCUGCCGCUGCGCCUCGUACGCCACCGCCACCGCCACCGCUACCGCCUCCGCCAUCUCCCUUCUCGCUUGGAUUUCUUUGAGCAGCUUCUCUCGGGGAGGAGAGCAGUGCAGUGCAGUGCCGAGAAAAAAAAGAAGGACUGGAAUUUGUGGAGCCGAUCCAGGUGCACACGGACGGCACAAGGGCUCUGAAAUUGAAAAUUUGUUAGGAUGCAGUUGGCCCAUCCCUACUUUCUCGAAACCGAACUCUCUUGUGAUCGCGUCGGCCCCGCACGGCGAACGCUCGGGCCCGGCCCAAACUGACAUGAAGGCCCGCCGACCGCCCAGCGUCCUACUCCUACUUUGCAAGCUGUGCUGUGAUGCGCCACCUUUUGUGGGAUUUUGUUCUUGCUUGCCAGCAGUGAUGUUGGGAUGGAUUCGCAGCGGCGGAGGUGCAAAUAAGCUCCGGUUUCUCGCAUGGUGACUGGUUGGUAUUGUCGAGCUCGGACGCGGAAUCGGCCAAGGGGAUGAGGAGUUCGUACCCACUCCAUUCAGUCUGCGAUGCAACAUCGGUUGUGCAGCCGAUGGUCGGUGCUUUUGCUCUGUCUCUCGGGACAAGCUUCUAUUGCGGCUGAUGUAGCCCAUUGUGGCGAUCUGUGUUGAUGCGAACUCGAGGGCUUAUGGUGGCAGUCCUCUUCCUUCUGCUGUUGCUUGGGAGAGAAGCCAAUGGCGAGCUCACCUGUGAUGUGGAGUUUAGACUUUAGGCCGUGUUUAGUUUCUAAAAAUUUUCAAGAUUUCUCGUCAUAUCGAAUCUUGCGGCAUAUGCAUGAUGUAUUAAAUAUACAUAAAAACAAAAUUAAUUGUACAAUUUAUAUGUAAAUCACGAGACGAAUCUUCUAAGCCUAGUUACUCCAAGAUUGAAUAAUAUUUGUCAAAUAAAAAUAAAAAUACUAACAGUGCCAAAAACCUAAUUUUGCGAACUGAACAAGGCCUUAGAGUAUGGAGGGUAGAGGCAGUAGAUUGGAGCAAGCAGAAGAAGGUGCUGCUGACCCUUACCUGUCCAAAGCCUCGGGGGUCGGUCUCCUUCGCGCUGGUCAGACCUUGCCUUGUUUUCCAAAAAUUAAGUUAUUAUAUUGAAUUUUUGGGCGUAUAUAUAAAACAUUAAAUAUAAAUUAAAAAUAAUUAAUUAUAUAGUUUAUUGUAAUUUGUGAAAUAAAUUUUUUGAGCAUAGUUAGUCUAUAGUUGAAUAAUAAUUGUCAAAUACAAAUAAAAGUGUGACAUUAGUCGAACCUAAAAAAAAUUCCGCGAACUAUGACAUAAGCUAGCUAGUAUGAUAAUUUCAAGUGAAGAGGGUCGAGCUGCUCAUGACGGUGCCAUAAGCCGCCAAAUCUGACUAGCAGUGAGCAGCCGAGAAGUGUGAUGAGAUGAAAAAAAAAAUAUCCAUAAGCCGCCAAAUCUGACUGAGCAGUGAGAAGUGUGAUGAGAUGAAAAACAAAACAAAAUAUCCGACCUGCCGGAUUCGAACCAGCGACCUAAGGAUUUAACUGCGAAUACUACAGUCCUCCGCUCUACCAACUGAGCUAAGGUCGGUUUUGGACUAAGCAUUUUGUGUAUAUUAUAUCAUGGUUGGAAGCACCAUAUAUUCAACUAAUCAUCACAGAAACAAGGCUAGUGGCAAAGCUAUACUCCCUCCAUCUCACAAAUAAACGCAAUUCUAGCAAUGAAUCUGGACAUACAUAAUGUCCAGAUUCAUUGCUAGAAUUGCGUUUAUUUGUGGGACGGAGGGAGUAUAUGUAUUCUUAUGGGUACGCAUACACCCAUUGAAAAUAUAGAAUACUGUGAGUAGAAUCAAAUUUUUAUCAUGAUUAUGGCUCAAAUUAUCAUGUCUAUAAGGUAGGCGUACAUGACUAUUAUGCUUCAUGUUCGCAUACUUUUAAACUUUUUACUCCUGUUUAAUGAAAAACGUGUCAUCGCAUGGUCACCACAAAAAAAACAUUGUGCUCCGGCAGUGCCUUUGAACAUUGGUGUUCGCCAUCUAAGGCCUUGUUUAGUUCCAAAAAUUUUUGCAAAUGGACAUUAUAGUAUUUUUGUUUAUAUUUGACAAAUAUUGUCUAAUCAUGGACUAAUUAGACUCAAAAGAUUUAUCUCGUAAAUUAUAGACAAAUUAUGCAAUUAAUUAUUUUUUAUCUAUAUUUAAUGCUCCAUACAUGCAUGUUCCGCAAUAUUUGAUGUGGCAGGGACUGCUUCGUACACAUGUUUUAGCUUAGGAGACAUCGAGCGAAGAAAGAAAAUAGUAGAUGCUACCGCGACCACGAUGUGAGAAAAUGGAAACGAUUGGAUCGAUAUGGUUAAAAUGCAAGCAUGCCAUGAUAGGGCCAAGUAUGUGCGUAAACCAAUUUUGCAUUUUCCGAAUGAUUUUCGUAUGGAGCUGGUCCAGCACGCAGCACUUGUCACUGUCAUCUGUACCGUGUACAUCAUCCGGUUUGUUUCUUUCAGUGAAAAAGGAACCGCUCUACUACAAGCACGGAUGCCCACAUUUCGCUCGAGCCAGGCAGCCAGACUGCGCUCGUAAACGUGCUGACGGCGAGCUCCGGCCGGUCACCGGUGGAACGGUGCGCCACGGGCACGGCCGAACGCCGCCAUGCAUUGCCUCGCUCGAUCGUUCUGCAUCCGGCGGCGAUACGGUGUAAGUGUAAGCGGCCGCGAACGCGAACGUGAACGCGCAGCACUGAAGGCGGGCGUGACGUGCCGGCGGGACACGGACUUUCCGGCCGCUGUAGCGUCCGGCUGCACGCCAUACGCGGCCACGCACGUCGCCUCGGCCGAACGACACCGAUCAGUCUCAUGUGCCUGCACCUGCACGCGUGCACCGCCGGAGAGUCCCGUGACCUGCUCCCGCCCGUGAGGCGCCAGAUUCGGCGUUCUUGGCGCCCGCGCUGCGCCGCGUGCACCGCCGCGUUCGCGCCACACCCCCAAUGCCCAAAGAGACACGGGAGCACCCGUUCCCUACCCCGGCGCUCCACGCGUUCCCCCGGCCAUCCCUGCAAUCAAGCCUACAACCAGGGUAUAAAAUCUGCCACGCGCGGGCACAUGCAGAGCACAGGCGCGAUCGAGCUCGCGGUGAACAUCGAUAACUAUCACUGUACUCGAUCGACAGCAAACACGGCAAAAAAAAAAAAAGGCCAAGGUUCUGCAGUCUGCUGUUGCUCUCCUGCUGGUGGCAUCGCUGCUGCUGCUGCUAGCCCCUUGCGACGGCAGGGAGCUGAAAGCGAGCGGUGCGGCGGCAUCGGGCGGUGCCGCCAACGGUGGUAGUAGCAACGGCAGCGAGGAGAAGGCCACGGGGUUGCCGCUGAUCCCGCCGCUGCCGGUGCCGCUCCCGCCCGUCGUUCCUGGGCUCCCUCCGGCUCGCGAGUCCGAUAAGUCUCCGUGACCGUGCGCGGGCUAGGCUAAGCGUGGGCGCGGCUCCUGCUCAUGAGCCCAACAAGUUCAUGUCUUUGUCAUGUACCUUUCGUGGUUUCUAGCUACCUUGCAUUUUGUGUUUUGUGUGGUGAUGUAACAAAAUGCGCGUCAGAGAGUUUGUGCUUUUGAGAUAAUCAGAGUUUGCGUCGUCCCAGAGCAUUUCGUUGAUGUACACGGACCUUAAUUAAUCCACGUCUGCUGUUCGCAUCUAUUGAUGCUAUGCCCUGCGUUGUAACCACAAACCAGUAAGCAGUCAUAACUAUGCACGGCUCGUCUGCAUCGUAAGGAUUGGAUCCAACGUGAGGCUGUUCGAUUGAAAUCUGCCGACCAUUCAACAGUAUUUUACACAAAUUAGUUAACAUUACUUUCUGUUAUGAUUUAUCAGUCAAACAAACAUUACAAUAUUUAAAAGCAACCAAACAUAAACUAAUUUUAAAACUUAGGCCCUAUUUGAUUUCCUCUUAUAAACUCUAGUCCUUAUUAAAUAUAGACUAUUUAUAAAAUUUAAUUUGUGUGAUGACUUUUUCAAAUCUAAUUAGUUCAUAAUUAGAUAUUAAAUGUUAUAGUUACAAAUAUGCUAAGUACCUAUUAAACUUUAGUCCCUCUAACCAAACACCCCCUUAUUACAUGAGCGGUGGCUAAUUAGUGAGAUGAAUCUAUGAAUCCUAAUUAGCUUAUGUGGUACAGUAAACAUGGUCUAAUUAACUGAAAUCGGUUACCAUUUCGCCACCAAAAUUUUUGACAUCCGAUUUUAACGAAUUAACUGAUUGUCCAGGCCUACUUCCGAGGGAAGCACGGGCCACUUGAGUCACUAGCUCACUGCACAGCUACAGAUGUAUAUGCUUGUCCAAUUUUUAUACAUCAUGCUGGAUUUGCAAGAAUCAUAUAGCACAGGGCACCAUACACAUAUCAAUGAAAAAGUCUCAGUAACACCAAACAACCACUACAGAUACAGCAGAUUGAGCCCUACAAAUUCCAUGUUAUAGAUAUAGAUGCGGGAAUGCUGCCCACAAGUUUGUAUAUAACUCGCAUAACUUCUUUUUACAACUGUUCCCAUUCCCGCUCACCGAUGGCAAACUAUGAGUGUCCCCUCGCUCGUUUGCUCUCUGCGUCUUUUGGCUCGGGAGAUUGUUUUAAGUUAGGUCAUCCUCGUCCAAGGAUUCCUCGCCAUCAUCAGCUUUCUUAAUGGCCUGCAGAUCACCUGUCGGUAGCUUCCGUGCAAGCCUAAUUACCUGCAUUAAUGUACAGAACCAACUAUCACCACAAAUCCCAAGCCUAGACAGGCACCAACCAAGUAGUAUAGAAAUACAAUCAGGCAGGCAAACACAUCAGAAUGAAUGAAAACUGUUCUUGACUAGAGAAUAUAUGGGAUGAUUGAUGAUGCGGCAGUAAGACAAGUGCAGAAGUGCUAAACGGAAAUACAGUUAAUAAGGGUUUCUUCUCUCAUAAUAUUGGUUGUAUGAAUAAUGAAGGCUCCAUGCACAUCACUGCUGAAAUCGGUGAACAUCACAAACAGAAGAUACACCAUUUGUGCAGAUCACUACACAAUGCAGCAUGACUUCCCAAUAGAUUCAAGGCUCCUUGUGUAUAUGGAGAUUAGAAAGAACAGUUCUACAAAUGAUAUUCCUAACUCCUUGUUCGCCAUUUUAUGGAGAUGCAACACCAGAUGGCAACUUCUGAUCCAUUUAGACACUAUACCAUUGCUGAUACAAUUCAGCAUGCAUUGCUUUUUAUAGAGGAAAUGAAAAGAAUUACCACAUGGUCAAGGUGAUUGAAGGCACUUGAUUGAGCAAUGCGUUUGAUUUCUUCCGCAUCACCUUCCUCAUAAGCAGACAAUAGUUUUGUUGCGCAUCGAUUCUGGUCACUAUUGAGGAAGGCUUGAACCCUGUCAAAUGACAAUGAAAAGUUUCCGUUUAUGCUUCAUGGUUUGAUGGGGGGAAAAUAGCACAUGGCACAAAUAUAAUUAUAUAAAAUUUCACCAAUGUACAACUUACUCUGAGCAGUCAUUGUAGCAUUUCUGAGCUUGCUGAAAGUCAUGUGCAUAAAGAUAGACGAUGAUCGCACUCAGAUAAGCCUGAAUGCCAGAAACAAAUUUUGAAUCAGACAAGUUUUGUGUUCAAGACAUUCAUGACUAAGCAAGUUUUGUUUUCAAGACAUGAUCACAGAUAAAGCUGCAAGAUACAUAUAAUGUGCUAAUUUGUAAAGAUCUCAAUUCAAUAAUACACAUGGAGUUUCUGAAUAAUUAUGUAAGAACAUUUCAGUUAUCAGUUAGGAAAAAAAAAAGAUACCUUGCAUUGGCUAUUGAUGGCAUUGCACUUAUCAGCAGAUGAACCAAGUCUUAAAAAGAAGGCAGCGGCAUCUGAAUACCUGUCCAAUGGACAAAGAUGGGGGUGAAUUGUAAUACGGUCAUGUCAAAAGUUACUUGCAAUGCUAAGUGAUAACCUAUCAGUAUACAAGAGUUCCUAGGCGUUAGGUUCAGAAAACAAUUCAAGGUGUCACUUUAGGCCCUUAAUGUAUAUUCAAAACAUUGAAGGUGUCACUUACUUCACAUGUAAGAACGAUGAAGAAUGAACAUCAAAAUGUUCCAAGGAAAUCAUGAAUGAGAUAGCAUAGAGAUGCAAAGGUGAGGCUAUAGAUCGAAAUUAAUAUAAGCAAGCAUCAAG
RNAcentral lists this long non-coding RNA (53887 nucleotides) under Sorghum bicolor (sorghum). Its description in RNAcentral is "long non-coding RNA (SBIC_LNC011422)". The stretch from base 42309 to 42416 matches the Rfam family "MIR5565 microRNA precursor family". Lineage: Eukaryota; Viridiplantae; Streptophyta; Magnoliopsida; Poales; Poaceae. The record is from RNAcentral.